This 82829-nucleotide long non-coding RNA is filed under the name Citrus maxima (pomelo). RNAcentral's name for it is "long non-coding RNA (CMAX_LNC003636)". The record is from RNAcentral. Lineage: Eukaryota; Viridiplantae; Streptophyta; Magnoliopsida; Sapindales; Rutaceae.
CAGAAAUCAACUAGAAUUAAAUCAUAGGUAACUCAAACUUUGGUAGAAGAAGAAUGCCAAUAACAUGAUUUUAAACAAGCUUCAGGAGCUUAAUACUUAUCUCAAUCACAGUAUUUAUGUUAUAAAAUUUCCGGCAUGUUUUGCAACAAGAGUUGAACAACUGAUCGGAAACAUACCAAUUUCUAAGUGUGAAUUGCUUGGUAUGCUGUUGAUUACACCAGGAUGCAGCUCCAGGAUGCCUUAGAAACAGGAUAUAUUAAGUUACAUCAAAGUUCUAAGAAAGAAAGAUAGCCAAAUCAAAGUUAGAUGUAAUCUAACUCAAGAUGGAUUUAAGGAAUAUGUACCAAUAAAGUCUUACGUUUAGGCAUUCAGGAAGAUGAAUUACCGACUAUACCAACGGUAUCAAUGGAUCCAGAUUCUAGAACAUGUUUCUCCACAGCUAGCGCCAGUUCUGCAGCAGCCAGACCGGCAUAGUUCCUGCUCAUUACAUGUAAAACAUUAUGAAUCUUGUUGACUGAAUAAGCAUAAUAAAAGAAUCAUAAUGAUGAAUAUACUAAAUUGAUGAAAGAUAUGUAAAUGUAGCUGUACACAGGCAGACAUCAGUUACCUAUUUGGCAUCAAGAUAGCACCCGCAUGCCCUCCAUUGCCUUCAAAAUCUACAUUUAUACUUGCAGGAGCUGCAAUGGCAGUCACUAUUCCAAUUGAUGUACCUGACUUGAAAUAUGAAGUGGAUUAAUAGCCAUCAAUAAAUAGAGAUCAUGAGGAUAAAAUAAGCAGUAAAAAAGACAAACCUUCUUCCUCCAGAAUAGGUCCCUGCUCCAUAUGCAAUUCAACAAAAGCAGAGUAACUUCCUUUCUUCAAAAAUACAAUCGAUAGGACAUUGCGCUCUUUUGCAUAUGCACCAGAUCUUGCAGCAUCUAAAAAGGAUAUAUUUUGACCAUCAACUGCUGAUGUCAGAUCUUUUGCCAAUGACUCAAUUCCUGCCAAUAAGAGACUGCAAAACAAAAAUAAACAUAUGAACUUAUACUAUAGUAUAAGAUUUCCAAACCCAUACACAGUCCGCCAUGUCAAGACAUAACAUGUUGAAGUUUAAUGUACAGUGAAAGUGGUUGCUAUAAAGUUUGCAAAGAUAAGUAAAAGAAAGCUUCAGAGAAAAGUAUCUUUCCUUCUUUUUGUAUGGACAAAAAUUAAGAAAGGAAAGCAGCCAAAUAAUCCCAAGUGCGUAUACUGAGUUACGAAGUUUUAACUAUUUACAAGUGGCUAACGUUCCCAAACAACUGAUCCAUAACGUGUGGACUCUUCUGAGGUGAACACGAUAACCUCCAGUGACCUUCUAGUCUUGAAUCCAGAUCUGUUAAAGACCCAGUCAACAUAGCAUAGACCAAAAACUGUGGCUACUACACAAUACAUUUAUCUGAAAAAAACUUAGAUAUAAUGAAAAAGAAAUUAGCUGGAAACCAAAAGCACAAACAAUACCCUAGACUGGAAAACUCAGAGACAAAAAAAAAAUUAUUAUAUCUAUAUCUCCAAGACACCGCUUGAGCAAGGAAUAUCUGAGUAUGUCCUGAUUCAAUUUUGACAUCAUCUGACUACAGCACCGGUGAUCUAACUGAAGGCACUCAACGUCUAAAAGUUCAUAUAUUCAUGAAUAAAGUUAUGCAUGUCGAUUGCAUUUAUUGCCAUCAAUUUGCAAAAAGAAAAUUUUUCAGUGCUAAACCAGAAUGCUAAUCAACCCUCAAAGCAAACAUAAGUGGCAAUUUAUAACCACAUAUUUCUGAUUCAUCAGAGCCUACCAAUAAAAUCAAUCAAGUAUUCCAUACCUUUUUAGCACAUUAAUGCCUUCUAUUGCACCUAGCACACCAACCAAUAUUUGCUUAACUCUGCGUUUUAUCAGGGACAUCAUACUUCAGAGUUUUAUGAGGAACUAGCAAAGAUAAUCUUGUGCUUUAAUGAUUUUUUGGAGUCGGUCAAUGUUUUUUAAAGCAUGAUUAGCAUAUCUUCUGUUCAGCUAAAAAGAAAAUGGUGGAUAUUAUAGGCAUUGAUUGAUUACAUGAAUCUUUUGUGAACUCAUUAAUCAUAUUCUUUAAAUUUCAUGAUACUCUGGCUCAUUAUUCAUCUGAUGCUGCAUUUUCCUUCUGGGAUUUUGCUUAAUCUUCUUAAUGGCAUUGCAGAGGUACAUAAAGCAGUACAAUGACAUUGAGCUCACUGCCUCGGGAAUGGUACAAUUUCUUGUAACCAUCUCCUCUGUUUUGCAUAUUUUUUUAUUAUUUCCUUUUCUUUUAUUCUUUGGUGCACAGGAACCCCUUUUCAAUUUCUACUUCAAAUUAUAUCUAGUGGAUAGUUUUUCUUAUUGUUUUUUUUAAUUGAAUUUUCAAACCAUAACUUCUUGACAGAAAAAGAAAUUGUUCUUCCAAAUAUUAGUAUGAUUUUGGUGGUUUUGACCUACACCAUGUGACGAUGAUUUGAUUUCACUAGAAUGUAAGUAAUAAAUCAGUGCACUAGUUCUAUUGAUUGCAUUGUUCAUUUUGGAUAUUAUGAUUGAUUUUCCAAUGAAAAAUUAAGAUCAGUGAGGUCAGCACAAGGAGCCGUAUCUGUCAGAAACUUCUGUACAAGAUAAUAAAUGUAUCCUCCUUAAACUUGAAAUGCAGAUUCAUGCUAUUACAGCACACCCAAGAGACAGUUCAUUGCUAUUAUAUCCUUCACCCUGGAACAUAUUUUAUAACAAUAUGUGCUGACUUCUACAAGUGUUUAAUGCAGCUGUUCCUACUGUUGUCAUAAUUGCUGAGGCUCUGAAACGUGAUGGACUGGCAAGUAGUAAAGGUAAGAGGUUAAAGCCAUUUUUGUUAACAUCUUUUGUUGUUAGCAAAUUAAUUAGAAUGACAUAUCUUCUGAAAAAUGCAACAGAGGUAAAGAUUUCUACUGUGAACUCCAAGAAGGACGAUGAAGGCCGCUUCUUUCAGAAAGCUAAGGUUGGAUUGUUUGCAUUGGCAGCUGGCCUUUGUCUGUUUUACUAUUCACAAUUUUAGUUACUUUUUACCAGAAACAGUUUCGUCUUAUCUAACUUUUACACAGUCUCUCAGAUUCAAAUUGUGCUGGGAAAGGCUGAAAAACUUGAGAAAGCCGUUGUUGCUGCUACUGCUCCAAAGGAGACUUCUGAUACUGAUAUGAAGGCCUGAAGGGCAGUUAGAUAAGAGCUUAAUUUCUGUAGUUUUCUGUAGCAUAUGUUUUUUCCUUAGUCUUACAUUUGUCAAUGGAAAUAUUUUUGAGAUUAAAGGUAGUAGUUGUUUUUCCAGUUGAUGUUGGACCUGCUGCUAACAUGACCAUGUAAUAAGGUUGGAGUAAAGACUUGUUUUGUAAGGGCAGAUCUAGUGAUACCUGGGCAUCUUCCUGUAUAUGUCCUUUUUUUCUUUUCUUUUUCUUUUUUUUUCAUUUCUAGUGCACCUGAGACUAAAAUGUUUUGGCAACGUGCUUCUGUCCAUGUUAAAUGUUGUAACGUUUCAAUUUACUGCUGGGUUGACAGAAAUACAAAUUCAUUUUUCCCCUCUCCCUCUCUGUCUCAGAGCACAAAAAUCAUCUCCACUUUAGGUUAGUUGAUUUUGCAAAUAUAACAGUUCCAAUUGCAUCUUUAGCUGCAAGUGAUGGCAUCAAUGAAACAUAUGAUUUGUUAGUAUGCUAGAAGGAAAAUGAAAAAAGGCUGUUUGUUUUGCAAAAGCUUUUUUAAUGAUGUCAAUAUUAGCUCUGACUAUGCAGACAUGUUCAAGAGGUUUGUGACAGAUUGCUAGUUGAGAGAAGAUUUCUUAUCUGUUUGCCAACAGUUAUCACUAUGCUGUUUAAUAUUUAUCAUUCCAUGUCAGGAGAAGCUUGAAUUUCCAAGAUGAAUAAUUUCAAUUUACUAUCACUUAUUUUGAUAUUUACUCAUCAAGUUAAUGAAUGGAUCUCUCUAUCAAGUCAUAUCCGAGAUGAAAUGCAUAAAGUGAGUGCAAUGGCACGAGGAAAGAAGAAUGUACACCUAUAUAUAAGUAGCUGGUUACAAAAACUACAAACAAAUGAUCAAUACAGGGAUUAGAGGCAUGUUUCUCUGCCUAUGGCUGUACCUGAAAAUGAAAAUUGGAUGGAAAUAUAUAUAUGAUUUAAGGAUGAAAUCUAACAUUUCAAAGAUACAAAUAAUGUGGCACAGGGCUUUCUUUUAUUAUUAUCAUUUGAGUGUCCUGUUAGUUACACAAUAGUGUUAAAAUCAUAUAACGAACUUGUACGCUGGGGCCAGUUGCUCUAACGGACAAUUAAAAUCUUCCCGCUAAAGUAACUAACAAGAAACUGAUCCAAAUGAAACACAGCCACACGUCCAUUUCUCAUUGGAUCAACGCCUCUAUAUAGCACCGACCUCCGGUCACAACUGACUCCUCCUCCAAAAUCUCAUCAAAAACUUUCCAGCCAUUUCCAAGCAUUGUGAAGGCAACUGAGGUUGCGGAAGAGGCCAGAGAUUAUUGUUGAAUCCAGAAACAAGGAGGGCAACAGCAAGAAAGCAGAAGUUGGUUUCUGAAGAUGAUACAAGAAUUAAUUUUGCUAGUGGCAUUUGCAUUGUUUCUUGGUCGAGUAAUUAAAGAUGUUUAUAGAACAAUAAGAAACGAAUUCAGAAGAAGAAGAAGAGGGGGAUGAAGAGGAAGGAGAUAAGGAUGAGCAAUCUAAUUCAACCCUUCAUCCUCAAGAAAACUUUCGUUUUCUACUGGAGUCUAGCUAAGGUAUACACUUAAAAUCUCCUGUUCAAAAAAGUUUCUUAGGUUAAAUAUAGUUGAUGUGUUUGUUUGGUUGCCAAGAUUUUGUGGAAAGGAAAAUGAGCUAAUGAAGCUUUAUGUGUUAUUUUUUCAUGGGUUUAGACUUGUUUCUGAUAUAUAUGAUGCGAUCUUGUUUUGAUUUAUUAACUAAUUUGGGUGUCAAUAAAUUAUGUUUUCAAAUUUUAUAAAACUUGAAUUUGCUUAAUGAUCUGACGGUCUUUGUUUCUUGGUAGGUUCUGGACUUCUAGUUCUAAUCUUGAUUUAGUUAUUCAUGAUUGUUUCAUUAAAAGGGGGAGGUUUAUUGGUUCUUUGACUCAAUAGCUUUCAUUAACUUGUAUACAAUUGUUUGAAUAUAGAUUUGGUAUCUCUACUAGUAUUCUUCAUCUAUGCCAAUUUGAGGUGAUAUUCCUGUAGCAACUUCAUAAUGGAUAUUAUGCACUGAUUCAUGACUUGUCACCUUUCAUUAAUCUGGAUUCCUUAAACUGAUUUUAUUAUGCUUUCAUUGUGCAUCAGAAUCAGAUUAUGGAUUUUUCCUUAAUGGGGUUUCUUUUAUCUUAUCAACGUAUUGCAGAUGUAUUUAAAGGACUAUAAUGAUGCUGAGAUCUCUGACUUUGGCUUCGGUGAAUUUUCUUCAUCAUUUUUCCUUAUUGUCAUUAUUCUUUCGUUUAUUUCCUUCCUAUUUUCCCAACCUUUAUUCCUUUUUUCACUUUUUGUUGCAAAGUGAGUCUAACUGGUGAUUUUCCAAAUGAUUGCUCAUCUGGAAAAUUGCAGACCUUUCACACCUGCUUGCUGGUCAUUUAUGCUUAAACAUUUCUUUUGAAAUAAUUCUAAAUACAAUCCGUUGCCAGAAUAAACAUUUUAACCUUGCAAAUACGAAUGGCAUGAGUUUGAUGGUUAUAUAUAUUGCAUCCCGCUGUAUUUGAUGAUGAGUUGAUUCAUAAAUGCUGUUAAUUUGAUCAAUAGAAUAGUAGUAAUGAGCUUUCACAUAGAUAAUUGAGAUCAAUGAGGUCUAAUAUUCUAGAAAAUUCAGAGUUAUUUUCUGUUAACUUGAAUCUCAAGUCAUCAAUGAGAAAGUAUUAGUCAGAAUGACUCGUCUUCGUUAGUGUAAUUAUUGCUGACUGUUAGUGUAAUUAUUGCUGACUACUGGCUUUACUUGAUUCAACUAUUGCUGCUGUUAACACAAUUUCCAUCAUUAUGAAGGAAAUGGAUUGGUAAAUAAUAAAGGUCAACAAAUGGUCAUAGCCUUUGUAUGCUUAUUAAACAUCCUCAAUUAUUCAUAAAUUACUUUUAACUACAUGUUUCAAGAAAUGCUAGAGAUAAAGAGAUAUUUAUAGUACAAAUAAAGGAGGACAGUGAAGGUCACUUUGUUAAGAAAGCUGAGGUUAGAUUGCUUGCAUUUUGUUGAGUUCUUGUUCGUUUUACUUAUUGUAGUUUUAGCUAAUCAAUUUCACUAUUAUCAGUUUCAUCUUUCACUGCUUCUUAGAUUCGAACUGCGACAGUAAUGGUUGAGAAACUCAACAAGAUCAUUGCUGUUUCUACAGCACCAAAGAAGGCUGCUGAUAAGGCGGCUUGAAGACAUAGGAGUUUCAUUUAUAUGGUCCUAAAAUGUAAUAAUUAUUUUCCAGACUUUAAGAAGGUUUCGGUAGAGAGAUAAUCGGAUGAAGAUUAUCAAAGUGCUACUUUCAAGCUGCUGCUAGCAUGACCAUGCAACAGAGUUGGAGGAGAGCCAGUUUGGUGGAGCAGAUCCGAUUGUGUUUGGCACUAAUGUGUCUUCCUUUGUUCACUUUAAAAUUAUGAAUGUCGUUUUAAUCAAACUUAUGGUACUGCUUUUCAUGUUAGAUACAGGGGCACUUUAUUUUCCAGGAGAGUAAUAGGAACAGAUAUACAAAGUAUCAUAUGUCUCUCUUGUGCUCUCUCUCUCUCUCACAUACACAAACACACACAAAUACAUGCAUAUACAUAUGUAGCACACACAAUGUUAGCAAGUUGACUGCACCCUGAGAUCGGCUAAUCUUAUCAAUGCUUAAGUUUAUCCCUAGUUGCAAGUUGGGAUAAGAGCCAGAUGAAUUUGUUAGCAUGAUAAUGAAUGAUUUAUAGCCUAUUUAAUUUCCUGUGAUCUUAGGUACUAUUGUCAUCGAAUCAGUAGUUGACGGUUUUAGAUGAGAAGAAAAGUGGUCUACCUGUUGUAACAUGGAAUGAACAUCAUGCCCAUUAGAGAUACCCUGCAAUGCAAGGAUGUGAAAAUGUAUUUAUUAGAAUUUAGGAGCAGUUUACCGUUAAGAAAAACACUAAGAACAGUAAAUUUGUCUUCAUCAUUUUUAUUUACAUCAGAACAAAGCAUUGUGUGUAGUAAGGAUUGAAUGAGCUAAUGCUUUGAAAAGCAUACGGAUAAGCAUCCAUCUUUAUGUGCGAGUGUGUUGCUCCGUAGAUUUUAUGUAGAGGCUAAGGAGUUGGGAGAAACAGAGGUACCACUCGAUGGUUAACAUAAAUUAAUUACAAACUGUUGAAAUGAACUCAAACUCAUCAGAACAACUUGUCGUAUUAAAGUCGAAAAAGUGAGUGACAUGUCAUUUCAAUUGAGCAAGAUUCCAAAGCUGACAACUUGGUAAUGUCGUCCAAAACCAUUAAACUCUCAUGUGGUUAACGCAUGCUUAUUUCUAAGCUUAAACGGCACAGCUUGCUGUUGUUUAAGGAAGGUUUUAAGUUGCGCAUGAAGAGUUCGUGAUCAGUUAGUUAAGGCUGUUGAUUUUGGAGGGAAUUUUCUGGAUUUGUAACGCCAGCAACAACUGAUAUAUAUGUGCUGGUUCUGGUGUAGUCUUGUUGUAUCAAGGAGAGAGUUAUAAGGUACUAAUAGUGAGAGUAAAGCUCUGCUGAGUGUUUCUCUGUAUUGCGUGUUAUCAUUUCUGUUACCUUGAAGCUUAAUAAAGUUACUCCCUGAGUUGUUUUCUCCAGUGGAUAUGGGCACCCUUAAAAGGUGUUGAACCACUUAAUUUCUUGUGUGUUCUUGAUUUUUUGGGUUGUGUUCUUUGAUCUGUUCAUUAUUUUGGUUAGCUUAGGUUUGAUUCUUAAAUCUUAGAGUUUGAGUUAGGUCUUGAGGUGUGAUUAAUCCUGUAAUUAAACGGUCGAUUUCACAAUAAUUGGUAUCAGAGCUUUAACUCUGAUUUCAAGGUUCAAGAAUGGGUUCAAAAGUGGAUCUUGAGAAGUUUACGGGGCAUAAUGAUUUCAACUUGUGGAAAAUCAAGAUGAAGGCUUUGUUGAUCACUUAAGGCCUAGGAGAUUUCAUAGAUCCAAUCUCUAAGCUUGAAGCAAGUGAGGCUUCAUCAUCCAAGACCUCAGAACAAAUAAUAGAGAUACACAAGAAAGCCAGAAGCAUAAUUAUUCUAAGUCUUGGUGACUCUGUAAUCUGAGAAGUGACAAAAGAAAAGAUUGUUGCUAGUUUAUAGGCCAAGUUGGAGAAUCUGUAUAUGACAAAGUCUUUAGCAAAUAGGCUUUACAUAAAAAAGAAGAUGUUCUCACUGAGGAUGAUUGAAUGAGCAUCAUUAAAUGAGCAUAUAGAUGAGUUCAAUAAGGUUUGUGAUGAACUGGAGACAAUUGAUAAAGGACUGAGUGAUAAAAGCAAAGCUUUACUGUUAAUAAGUUAUUUGCCAAAGUCAUACGAGCACUUUAUGGAUGCAUUGUUGUAUGAGAGGCGAACAUUUUCCCUAGAAGAGGUUAAAUCUGCUCUUGGUACCAAAAAGCUGAAAGAUAAGCAAGAUAAUCCAGAAAGUGAAUUAAGUGAGGGACUGAUGGCUAGAGGCAGGUCUGAGAAGAGAGAAAGUAAGGGAAAGAAACUAGGCAUAUCAAAGUCUAAACAGAAGAAUUUUAAGUGUUUUCAAUUCCAUAAAGAAGGGCAUUUCAAAAGAGAUUGCCCUGAAAGAAAGAACAAGAAUAAAGAAACCAAUGAAAGAACAGGAAAUGCAGCCAUAACCACAGAAAAAGAAGGUGGCUUUGAAACAGCUGGAGUGCUCAUUGCCACAAAUAAAAAACCUCAAGGUCAGUAGGUCCUUAACUUAGGUUGUACCUUUCAUAUGUGUCCAAAUAGAAGCUAUUUUACUUCAUAUCAGCCAUGUGGUAGGGGUGUGGUUUUAAUGGGUAAUAAGUCAAUGUGUAAAGUGGUUGGUAUUGGGACUGUAAGCCUUAGAAUGUUUGAUAGUGUGGUAAGACAAUUAACACAAGUCAGGUUUGUUCUUGAAUUAAAAAGGAACUUAAUUUCAAUUGGCAUGCUAGAUCAAACAAGUUGUGUGAUUAAGGCUGAAAAAAGGGUAUUGAGGGUAAUUAAAGGCUCAAUAGUGAUAAUGAAAGGUAUAAAACAAAAUGGCCUAUAUGUGCUGCAUGGACAUACUGUUGGUGGAGAGGUAAGUGUAACUGACAGUUGAGGAAACAAAUCAAUGCUGUGGCAUUUGAUGAUAAGGCAUAUGAUUGAAAGCAGUUUGAGAGAGCUACAAAAACAAUGAGUGUUUGGGAAGAUAAGAGCUUUGGGGUUCUGUGAAGAUUGUAUUAUAUGAAAGUCUUCCAGGCUAAGGUUUGAGACUGCAGCUCAUACCACCAAAAAGAAACUUGGAUACAUACACUCUGAUUUGUGGGGGGCCUGCACAAGUGAAUUCACUAAGUGGGUGUAAAUACUUUCUAUCAUUUAUGAAUAAAUUUUCAAAGAUGGUUUGGAUCUUUGCACUCAAAAGUAAAUAUGAGGUUCUGGAAAAAUUUAAAAGGUGAAAGAUUUUUUUUGAAAACCAAACUGGUUUGAAAGUGAAAACUCUGAGGACAGAUAAUGGCUUGGAGUAAUGCAAUAAGCUGUUUGAAGAAUUCUGUGAGAAGAAUGGUAUUCAGAGGCACAAAAUUCUCACCUAUACUCCUCAACAAAAUGGCCUUGCUGAGAGGAUGAACAAGACUUUGGUAGAGAAGGCGAGGUGCAUGCUGAUCUAUUUUUAGCCUUUAGAAACCCUUUGGGCAGAAGCUUUAAACACAACAUACUAUCUAGUCAACAGGAGCCCAUUAACUGCUAUAGGUUGUAAAACACUAAUGGAACCGUGGUAAGGGAGAAUGACUGAUUUUUCAAAACUCAGAAUAUUUGGCUGCACAGCAUAUGCUCAUGUAAAGCAGGGUAAACUGAAACUAAGAGCAUUAAAAUACAGGUUUCUGGGGUAUCGAGAAGGUAUCAAAGGCUAUAGAUUGUGGUGUGUUGAUUCAAAGCCACCACAGUGCAUUAUAAGCAGAGAUGUAACUUUCCAUGAUGAUGAGAUUUUGAAUAGACCAAAGCGUCCUGUUAACAACUCUGAAUUAGGUGCUGAGACUGAUAAAGUGAAGUUUCAGGUGGAGCCUCACAACUUGAAAGAACUUGAGCCUGAAAUUGAGACUGCUGAAAUAAAACCUAAAGCUAGUGUUGAACAUGAAUCAGCAGAAAGUGUAGAGGACACCUAUCAAUUGGCAAAAGACAGAAAGAGAAGGACUAUAAGACCACCUAAAAAAUAUGCAGUGGCUGACUUAAUUGCAUAUGCUUUGACAGUUGCUCAAGAGCUGAAUGAUUAUGAACCUAGGACUUAUCAGGGAGCUAUCACAGGCAAAAAUAAACUGGAAUGAAAUAGGACAAUGGAUAAAGAGAUGGCAUCCCUGAUGAAAAAUAAGACCUGGGAAUUGAUUGAAAAACCAGUUAAGAGGAGGAUAGUAAGUUGUAAAUAGAUUUUUAACCUGGAGCUGAGCUUAGAAGAUUUAAGGCUAGAUUGGUGGCAAGGGGCUUCACACAAAAUGAGUGAAUUGACUUCACUGAAGUAUUUUCCCCUGUAGUGAGACAUGCUUCCAUCAGAAUUAUUCUUACACUUGUGGCUGUUCAGGAUAUGCAUCUUAAGCAGAUGGAUGUAAAAGCAGUUUUCCUGCAUGGUGAAUUACAAGAGGAAAUUGUAAUGCAACAGCCAAAAGGGUAAAUGGCAUUUGGUAAAAAAGAUUGUGUCUGCUUACUUAAAAAGUCUCUAUAUGGGUUAAAGCAAUCACUUAGGCAAUGGUAUCUGAAGUUUGAUAACUUCAUGAUAACACAUGCCUUUAACAUGUGCAGCUAUGAUUGUUGUGUGUACUUUAAAGAGAUAAGUGGAGGGGGAAUGAUAUAUCUUCUGUUGUAUGUAGAUGAUAUGCUGAUUGCAUGCCAUAAAAGGGAAGAGAUCAAUAAUCUAAAGAGACUUUUAAGCAGAGAAUUUGAAAUGAAGGAACUUGGAGAAGCCAAGAGAAUUCUGGGGAUGGAUAUCAUCAAGAACAAGAGCGAGAAAAUUUUGUUCUUAACUCAACAAAGCUACAUUAAGAAGGUUCUGAUGAGAUUUGGAAUGAAUGAUGCUAAGCAAGUGCAUACACCAUUGGCAAAUCACUUCAAGUUGUCUGUUGUUCAAUGCCCUCAAACUGAAAGAGAACAACAGAAAAUGGCUUGUAUACCCUACUCAAGUGCAGUAGGUAGCCUCAUGUAUGCCAUGGUACUCACCAGACCUGAUAUCUCACAUGCUGUGAGUUUGGUGAGCAAGUUUAUGGCAAAUCCAAGAUAUGAACACUGGAGAACUGUUCAGUGGAUUAUGAGGUAUCUGAAGGGGACUUUGGAGGUUGGUUUGGUUUAUAGUGGAGAAGAUAAAAAUGGACACAUACUAAUUGGUUAUGUAGAUGCUGACUUUGCUGGUGAUCUUGAUAAAAAGAGGUCACAAACAGGGUAUUUGUUUACUCUUGGAGGCUACACAGUCAGUUGGAAAGCAACAUUACAGAAUGUAGUGGCCUUGUCCACUACAGAGGCAGAGUAUACUGCAGCAGCUGAAGCUUUCAAAGAAGUAAUUUGGUUGAAGGGCAUGAUAGCUGAGUUAGGAGCUGAUCGAGAGACUGUAACAAUAUAUAGUGACAACCAGAGUGCUAUACAUCUUAGCAAGAAUCAAUCCCAUCACAAGAAAACAAAACAUAUACAUAUUAAGUUGCAUUUCGUUAAGCUUAAGGUAUCAAGGGUGUUAACAUGAAUAUGUUAAUAAUAUUGAUUUUGAUGAUAACAAAUUUUAAAUGGUUUUUGAUAAAAAUAUUGGAGCUAUUUCUUAAUAAACGAAAGCCUUAAUAAUCAUUCCAUUCAUUCUUCAUAAAAGAUGGACUAUCAAAUUAGAAAAAGAUUCUCUGCAAAAACUGGUUUAAAAUGCAAUUCUGGUUAUAAGCGGUGAACCGUUUAUUUUAAACGGUUAACCGAUAACAUCCAGAGAGCAACAUAUUUCCUAAACCUUGAACCGUUUAUGAAAAACGGAAAACACCAAAAGAUGGGAAGGCUACUGGAACUUAACGGUGAACCGUUUAUUUUUAAACGGUUAACCGAUAACGUCCAGAAUCACUGAUUAACAAAACCGGUUAAGGCUGAAUUAUUUUGCAGGUUACUGGAGACAAACGGCAAACCGUUUAUUAUAAACGGUUAACCGAUAACAUCCAGAGAAGUCACUUCUUACAAAUCCUUAACCGUUUAGUGUAAACGGAUAGCUGAUAUUCAUUUUGCAGGUCUUUGGAAGUUAACGGCGAAAGGGCAAUCCUAAACGGCAAACCGUUUAUUUGAAAUCUGGCCCAACGGUAACUUUGACCAACCGAAACGGUUAACCGUUUAGGGUUAACGACGAACCGUUUUCUGUCCGACAGUUUGUAACGGCUAGAUUUUUAGCUCCAGAUAUAAAUAAGCUCAUUCAAAUUCAAAGAAAGUUGAUCACAACACGACCAUUGAGCAAAUAUUCGAGAAUACAAUCUUAAUAGAGCUUAGAACACAUUCUUGCUUCAUCUAUUCACAUAUUAAGCAUCAUUGUGUAAUCUUAUAUAUUGUGAGAGGCAAAAUAAUUUGUAAUAUUUUACUUUGAGUGAUUGUAAGUGUUGGGAUACACUUGGGUUAAGAGAUUGGGGAUAAUCUCUUGUUGUAAAGGUUUAUUGACACCUUGGAAGUCAAGUGUAAGCUUUUGAAGCCUUAGAGGCUUGCUUAGUGGAAUCCUUAAGCCCGGAAAGCUUGGAGGCGUGGACGUAGGCGAGGUUGGCCAAACCACGUAAAAAUCUAUGUGUUUGAAUACCUCUUCCCUUAUCUUUUUAUAUUGUGAUCAACUUAAUUGUUAUUGCUUUGAAUUUGGAUUAUAUUUGCAUUAAGUUUUUCGUUAUAAAUUGAAUAAUUUUUUAGAAUCCCAAUUCACCCCCCCUCUUGGGUUGCAUACUUGUAUUUCAAAGGGGAGCUGUGAAGUUGCUGAAGAUUCAUACUGAAGAAAAUCCAGCUAACAUGUUAACCAAAGUUGUGCCUACUGCCAAGUUCAGCCUUUGCAUGAACUUAGCAGGUAUAUACAAGUUUUAAGAAGCUGCAGAUGGGGAGAAGACAAUGUGAAAGAAGGGAGCUGUGAGUGUUGAGUUCAAGGUGGGGAUUGUUGAAAUGAACUCAAACUCAUCAGAACAACUUGCAUAUUAAAGUUGAAAAGGUGAGUGACAUGUCAUUUCAGUUGAGCAAGAUUCCAGAGUCGACAACUUGGUAAUGUCGUCCAAAAUCAUUAAACUCUCACGUGGUUAACGCACGCUUAUUUCUAAGCUUAAACAGCACAACUUGCUGCCGUUUAAGGAAGGUUUUAAGUUGCGCGUGAGGAGCUCGUGAUCAGUUAGUUAAGACUGUUGAUUUUGGAGGGAAUUUUCUAGAUUUGUAACGCCAGCAACAACUUAUAUAUAUGUGCUAGUUUUGCUGUAGUCUUGUUGUAUCGAGGAGAGAGUGAUAAGGUGGUAAUAGUGAGAGUAAAGCUCUGCUGAGUGUUUCUCUAUAUUGCGUGUUAUCAUUUCUAUAACCUUGAAACUUAAUAAAGUUGCUCCAUGAGUUGUCUUCUCCAGUGGAUGUAGGCACCCUCAAAAGGUGCUGAACCACUUAAUUUCUUGUGUGUUCUUGAUUCGUUGAGCUGUGUUCUUUGAUCUGUUCAUUGUUUUGGUUAGCUUAGGUUUGAUUCUUAAAUUUUGGAGUCUGAGUUAGGUCUUGGGGUGUGAUUAAUCCUGUAAUUAAAAGGUGAAUUUCACAACACAAACAAUGAUCAGUACAGGGAUCAGAGGCAUAUUUCUCUGUCAAAUUUCUCCUCUAAAUGAAUUGUAUUCCAUUCACGUGCAUAAAACCCAUCCAAAUUCCUCUCCUCUGCAGUCUGCAGCAGGAAAUGCUCUUCCCGACCCGGACAAAGUCAUUCAAAUGCAAAACCUUUCUCCCUCAAUUCUUUUAGCCGAUGAAAAUAGUAUCUCAGCACUGCGUUUAUUAACAGGAAAGGUGCGGCAUUAUCGUGGACGAAGAAGAAGAAGCCGCCAGUGAUGAUGCAAACGAUAACUGCGAGUACUUUGGCACUAUGAAGCACUGAAUAUGUGCCUGUGAGAAAAGCGAAAAGCAUCGCAGACAAGGCUAACUGUAUCAUUCCUCGGCUAAUUUUCAAUAGAAUAUAUUCCUUAAUCUUGUCCGGUAGCAAUGACAGGUAAAGGUGGAUGAAGACGGCACUUGUGGACAAAACCAAGGCUAACGAAUUGAAUAUAACAAAUGCUUGGAAAGCACUGCUUCUUGUUAGAACUGCGGCACCCUGAUCUGGACCAAUUUCAUUAAUGUAACCACCAGGCACGGUAAUACCUGCUGCGAAUGUAACAGUUGCUAUAAGUGCUGCCACUACUAGAUGGGAUUCCUUGCUUUUGUUGACAUAUUGCUCCAACUCCUCGUAUCUUGAUGCGACUCUUCUUUUACUGUCAUUGCUCUUCUUGUCUUCUUCACUAGUAUUACUACCUUGUUCCUUUGUUUCCCCAUUUCCAAAGACUAUAUGUCGCUGGCACCGGAUAGGGUUUAGUCUAGCCAAGCACCCUAGAAACAAUAUCUGCAACAACAUAUGUUGUACAUUUUCAAAAAACUGUUAUGAACAGUAACGAUUAAUUUCCUAAAUUCUGGAAUCAGUGUGUAAAAAGUAACUAAUAAAGACACAAAAAUUAAAAAUAUAGAUUAUUAGGUUGUCUUACCUCCUUCUCCCAAGUAAGCACCUUGUUUGAACGGAUUAUGUCUUCAGCGCUAUUGUUUUGAUGAUUGAAUGCUAGCUUAUCUACUUUCGCGUGACGAACGAAAGACUUUAUAAAAGAACCAGAAGCAGCAUGUUCUAGGAGGGGUGUGUUUCCGUCGUAGUUUUUCUCGUUCAUAAGGUUUCCAAGCGACGGAUUUCCUAAGAGUAAUUCGACUGUCCUUCUGCAUCCGCUAUGCAUGGCAAAGUGAAAAACAUUCCACCCUCUCUUAUCGACCAGUUCACAAGAACUUGGACAACUCCGUAUUAGAUCUCGCACUGUAUCUACUUUGCCCUUCACGGCUGCAAGAUGAAGAGGUAUCUUUUCCUCGUUAUCAGCUUUGUAGGCUGCUGAUUUAUCGGCCUUGAGUAAUUCCUUCAUCACGUAAGAGUUUCCCAAGUGUGCAGCCAAGUGAAGUGGAAGCCACCCUUGCUGAUCCGGUUUGCUGGUCUGAGUUCUUUUACUAGAACGUAGUAAAACUUUUGUAAUUUCUACAUAAAAGAAAACAAACAAAAAUUAAACUGAAAAAUAAUAUAGAGGGACCAAUUCUUUGUUCAAGUCAAUUUUGCAUAACAGAUUUGGUUGAAGUAUAAUUUAUUUUGCUUCUUGUAUGUUCAAAAUGAGAAAUAUUUAAAACAAAAAAUAGGUUGACAAUCAAAUAAUAGUAGGUUGUACCUGCAUCUUUGCGAAUUGCAACUGCGCUCAAAGUUGGAAGUGCAUAAGCUGACCAUGGACCUGCGAAAUAAUUGAAGAUUUCACGUGUAUCUUUGCGAAAUGCCGCUGCGUGCAAAGCCGUUCUUCCCAUUGGUCCAUGGUCAACUGGUGAUUCGCAAUUCGAUAAAAUAUCUUCCAUAACAUCUUUGUAACCCCUCUCCGCAGCCAGGUAGAGUGGAGUCUCCCCAGCUUCAUUGGCAUCAUAUGGUAAAUUAGGGUCUUCUUUUGUCAACAUCUUCACCACAUCAACUUGAUUGUAACGCACCGCCUCGUGCAAGGCUGUGUCUUUGGCUUCAUUCGUCGUCCCCAGCAUCAGCCUCGCAGCUGCAACACCUUCCUCGGGGUUGUUCUGGUGAGGUUUCUUGCAUUCAGCAAUUAGAACCUUCACUAUAUCAGAAUGCCCGUGCCUGGCCGCGAUGUGCAGCAGAGUUUCUCCUUUGGCAUUGGCCUUCAGUAAUAGAAUAGGACACAUUUCUAAAAUAACCCUCACAAAAUUUUCUCCUCGGAUUACUUCCCGAUCAUCCGACGAUGAUUGCUUUUUAAAAGUACUGAUCAUCCUCCAAAGGCUGUUUGCCUUGUUAUUGGGCUUCAUUGUUUUAUUAGGUAGGGCUGUGAUGUGGAUAUGGAGGAUUGUGUUCUCGUCUGGUGUCAAUAUUUGGUUUAGGACAGCUUUGUGUUCUUCGAAUUUACCAACAUGGCCUUCUACUGCAGCCUCGUAUAGAUCAUCCAUCAACUGGAAAUUCUUUCCUCGGACACUGCGUAGUCUUUCCCGGCGUGUCUCAGCAUUCUGGUUAUCAGAACCUGAAAAUGACGACAUUUCUCUGGUGAGGUGAUGUGAUGUGAAGGUGUGCUGUGAAAGAUGGAUUUUCUUUCCGUGCGUAUUUUCAAAAUGGUGAUGGCCACAGCAGCUAAGUGCUACCCAAUUUAUAUACAAAGAUGGCUUGCAUGCACGUGCAAGUCCGGUCCUACAGGGGACUUCAUCGUCGUCAAGUACGUAAAUUAAAUAGCAAUUUUCUUUACUUAUCUGAUGAUUCUACUAAUGCGCUGUUUUCUUUCUCAAGUCCUACGGAUUAAAAAAUUAAUUAAUGGUGUGUUUACUUCAUAGAAUAGGGAAUGAGAAUGAAACCCAUGUUUACUUGACAAAAUAUAAUUUGGGAAUAAGAAUAAAAUGUGUGGGUCUCACAUAAUUUCAAAAUAAGGAAUGAGAUUCCCAUUAAGGGUUGGGAAUGAGAAUAGAAAAUAUGUUUAUUUUUGUAUUCCUAUAUUUUUUUUUCAUAUUUUUCAAAUUACCCUCAUUCAAAUCACAAUUAAUUUUAUUAUUUUAGAUGUCAUUAAUAAUAAUAAUAAUAAUUAUUAUUAAUAAAUUUUAUUAACUUUAUUAUUUUAGUUGUUAUUAUUAUUAUUAUUAUUAUUAUUAUUAUUAUUAUUAUUAUCAUUAUUAACAAUAAAAAUAAUGAUAAAAAUAGUAAUUAAUAAAAAUAACAAAUAUCAUUAUUAAAAAUAUUAUCAUUAUUGUUGUUGUUAUUAUUAUUAUAUUAUUAUUAAUAAAAAUAAUAAUAACAAUAAUUAAUAAUAACUAAAAUAAUAAAAUUAAUAAAAUUUAAUAAUAAUAAUAAUGUAAUUUUCAUUUUCUAGAUACAUGUAUAAAUAUUAUUAUAAAAAAGAUAUUAAUUAAAAAAAUAUUAAUAAAAAAUAUUAAUAAUGAUAAUAUUAAUAAAAAUAAUAUUAACAAUAAUUAAUAAUAACUAAAAUAAUAAAGUUAAUAAAAUUUAAUAAUAAUAAUAACAACAACAACAACAAUAAUGAUAAUAUUGUUAAUAAUGAUAAAUUAAUUAUUUUUAUUAAUUAUUAAUACUAUGCGUAUUUUGGUAAAUUGAUUCUCAUUCCCAUUCCUCAUUUCGGUUCCUCAUUUUCAUUUAUUUUGUCAAGUAAACACAUCAAUAGCAUUCCAGCACAUUUCCAUUCCCAUUUAUUUUUGUCAAGUAAACAUUGGAAUCUCAUUCUCAUUCCUCAUUCACAUUCCACUCAAUUUCCAUUCCUAUGAAGUAAACACACCAAAAUAACUUGUCGGACUCGUCUGCCAUUUUACGAGAUUGACAUCUCCUUUUUCCUUAUUUUAUCUCCCCUCUCUUCUUUCCAUUCUUCUUCUCUCAUUUCAUUUUUUCCAACUAAAUAUAUAUUAUUAUAGCAUAUUUGGAUGGAGAAAAGGAAAAGGAAGGAAAGAAGAGGAAAGGAGGAGCGGGAAAAGGAAUAAUAAAAGGAGAGAAAAUAUGAAUUUAAUGUCAAACCAAACAAUGCAGUGGCGAAGGUAGCAAUAUUUUUUGGGUGGGCUGAUUUUUUUUAAAAUUAAAUUUAUUUCUCAAAAAUUUUGUUUUAUACAACUGAAAUUAUUAAGUACACUACAUAAGCAAAAACACUAACCAUUAAACUAUAAAAGUACAAUGUAAAUAUGAAAAAUACUAUUAGUGAAAUUGCGUCUUGCGAUUCUUUGAAAAGGAAAACUCAUCUAUUAUCGCAUCUGAAUUAAUAUUGUCUGCAAUUUAUCAUUCUUUGUAUUGUAUCAUUAUUUUCUAAUUUCAAGAAGAUGAAUAAGCAGUUUCCACUUUGUAUGCCAUCAUUAUCAUUCUAAUAUCUAUCAAUCUAUUAUCAUAUUCUAUUAUUUUAUAAUUCUAAGAAAAUGAAUCACAAAAUCAACAACUUCCUCUUUAUGCCAUCAUUAUCAUAAAUCGUAUUGUAUUCUAUAUAUUAAAAUUUACAAUAUAAGGUCACUUAUACUAGGCACUGCAUCAAGCAUCAAGAGACAGAGAUUGGGCAAUCGGCUUCGAGACUUCGGGUGUGGCAAGAGAUUGAGCCUGCGGGUGCCAAACGUACGAUAGCGGCUGGCAUCACUUCGGGUGUGACAGACUGCUCAUUCAACACCAGUGAGAGACUCAAGCAGUUAAGUUUUGGUGAAUUUAGAUAUUUGAUUAAGUUGGAUACUUCGGGAGUUUUGUUAAUUGUGAUUUGAAGAAAAUAAAGAUUAACUGUAAUUAUUAGAUUUAUUUUUAUUUUUUAUAAGUAUUAAUACAGGUAAAUUUAUAAAUUAAAAUUAACAAUUUUUUUUUUGAAAAAACUUCGCCAACUCUUAGCUUUGCCCCUAACAUAAUGAGAUUAAGAUUAACAUAUUUUCCCCUCAUUUUCUCUCCCCCUCUCUCCUUUCCUCUCUUUCUUCCAACUAGAUAUGUGCUCAAUAUAAUGAACUGAUAUAAGGUAUUAAUGUUGUUGAGGUUUUACUUUAAUGAAAAUGAGCAAAUGAAGCUUUAUGAAACUGAAAUGUUGAUGAACAUAAUUUAUAUACAUAUUUUACCAUUUAUUGUAUAUUUAUUAGUUAAUUUUAUUUGUUAUUUUUAAUUGAUUGAAUUGUUUUAUUGAAUAGAGAAUUAAUUGGAGAUUAAGAAUAAAAAAGUGCAAAAAGAGUAAUAAUUUCGGGGAGUAUCAAUCGAAGCCGUGACAAAGUUAAGAUUUUAUAGCAUGUGAAGCCAAGAGCAAUUUGCAUUUAAAAGGAAUUUCAAUUCUCCAAUUGAGUUGCACGUGCUUGGCAUUGCAAUAUGUGAAAAGCAAUUUAAAGGGACCCGUACUUGGCUUUCAAAAGUGGAAAGUAAUGGCUUAUGGUGGCGUUAAUUUGGAAGAUUUGUUUUAUAAUUGGAAAAGGAUUUUAAUUAGUAUAAAAAGAGGAUUCGGUGGCUAAGCAUUAUAAAAAGAGAGUUUUGGCUUUUGAAUGAGGUAGCCACCAGAGGAGCAGACGCAAGGCUGGGAGAGAAGAAUAAAGCAGCGGCAGCAGCAAUUUAAUUUUCAUGGCUGGUUUUGUUUAUUUUAUUGCUCCUAAUUCAAGUAUGUCUAGCUAAUUUUCUUAUACUGAGGUUAAGGAUGAAAUUCUAUUUAAUGAAAUAAUUAUAUUUUUAUUUAUUUAAUUCUCUAUAUAUGUUCUUUGAUGAUUAUGAUUUUUAUUUCACAUGAUUAAUUAGAUGUUAUUAAAAUCUUUUUAUCAAUUCUGUCGUGCAUUAUUGAUUGUUAGGAUUAAUAUUCGAUUAAAUCUAUGCUUGGAUCUAUAAAGUUUAUACAUGAUUAUCUUUGAUUCUAUGUCUUUCAUUAAAUUGUUUACAUAGAGUGCUUAGUAAAACUUUGACUCUUUGUUAUUCAAAAUAUGUACAUGCGAUGCUUAGAUGUCAUACUAUUAAGCAGAAAAAGAACCUACAUUAGAUUUAAUUACUUGGGCUUAAUUGUUAUAUCUAUGAGAUGACAUAGAUUGAUUUCGAGUUGUCAUUCUAAAAUUGGGGAUUAAUUAAUAAUUAGAUAAUUAUUAGUUGAAUAGUGGCGGAUUAUGAAACUUUGGUAAUUUUUGUCUUACUGAAAUCUCAUUUACUUUAAUUGUUUUCUUAGUUUAAUUAGUUUAAUUUCUCUUAAAACUCAAUUUGCUCAAUUAGUUUAGAAUUAAUAUUAAUUUUAAAUUUAAAUUAGACAUUUCAAUUUAUAACAAUUCCUGUGGGAUCGACCUCGUUACCACUAUUCUAUCUCUAGAUUCAUGCGUCUGGGAGUAUAUUAAAAUUUUCACAACAAAUGUCUUAAACGUCUUCCUUUUUUAAUUCUUCCCUACUACAUUUCAAUCAGAUUCCAUAGACAUUUAUGCUUUUUCUUUUGCGAGUAAAGAUUCUAAUUUACUCUUUCACUAAUUGACAAGCCAUUCCAUAGACAUUUAUGUUUUUUCCUUUGCGAGUUAAGAUUCAAAUUUAUUCUUAACUAAUUGACAAGCCACACCUUGACCAUCCAAAAAUUAAAUAAUAAAUUUGGAGAUUUUUGCAUCUAUUUUAUAAUAAUAUUUCGUUUAUUUCCUCCUUAGGGAAAGUUCAUAAACCUUUAAUUUAACUACUUAAGCAUUACAAAACUAUUAGUACACUUACUAGAGAGGACAUUAAUUGUUAACUAAUAAUAUUCAUUCAGUUAAUAAUUAAUUUUGGGUGCACGGUUUUUUACCAAAGGAAAUUUUUUAUUUGAGUCCUUGUUCUCUACAGAAAGAAAAUCAACUAUCAAAAGUUUUCAAAAUACAAACACUCAAGUCCUUCCAAAAUUCCAAUUUCAAUUUUAUUUCAUUCCGAUCCUGAAUACUAGAUUUCACAGUAAAAAAAUUUGUGAAAGCGUUAUCAUAGUAGAUAAUUAUAGUCCAAUGUCUCACACUACAAUUUACAUUCCAUUUUAUCUUUGUUUGUUAGUGUAAGUACUAUAAAAUUUUGGCCACUUACAAUGCACUGCGUGUCGAUAAAUGCACUACAAAUGUGAAGAGUCCGAAUGUGUUUAGUAAAAAUAGAUAAAAGAAAGUCUUUGAAAGCAAAAGCAUGUGAGUCACGUGACAGAUAAAUAAAUAAAUAGGAAAGAUCAGAUUAAAUAAAAAAUAUGAAGAACAAUUGAGAUUAGAUCCAAAAUGAUAUGAUCUCUCAUACUUGAAAGUUACUAUAAAUAGAAAUAUUGAACUACCUAAAAGGGAUCCAAACAUUAAUUCUCUCUUGUGAACGAGAGAGAAAAACACUAUGAAAUUAAGGCUAUAUUUUUCUUUAAUUUUCUUGUAUUUUCUAAGGAACCAAAUUGUUACGGACCGCCCAAGUUGCUAGCCCAAUUGCCCACCAAGAGCCCAAGACAAGGCCAAGAGUGCUAGCUUCGCCCGAUUCUAGAAACUUUUAGGCAAAUCUAGCACAUUUGAGGUUGUACAUACCUAGAAUAUUCCACACAUUUCUAGCUCAUGUAAAUAUCUAGAAUUCUAAGCAUGUGGUAGAAUUCUCUAGAAUCUCUAGAGCUUGGCAAGGCUCCCCUAUAAAUAGGGCAUGACAUUUAGCAUUUGAGUAAAAAGCUUAAAGCAAGCAACUCAAACACGUGUAAGCUCUCUUGUAAUCUCUCUUGUGAGUAAUACAAUUUCUCUUAUUCGGCUCCAUUACUCCCUUCUCUCUAACUCUUCGAAAACCUCUAGGCUUAACUAGUCGAGAAGUUCAAGGCUUACUUAACAACAUUCGGCAAAGGUUGUCUAACUGCCGCACGGGUUUGUUACGCAAAACAUUCAUCCCAUGACAAAAUGCUUACUUGAGUAUCAGAGUGCUUUUUGCAGGUAUCGAAUUAGCCCUUGAAGCUUUAGGAGGUUGAAAAUGCAGGACAAAAUCGUCCUUCCUUGGAUAUUGAAAGAUUUAUAGAUCCUUCAGUUAAUAAUUUUUUUACAAUUUUUACCAUGUUAAAAUUAUUCGAUUUUUGAAUUUCUUUUGCGCUCAAAUAAUUACUAAAUGUGGCAUACACGCGACUUUGUUUCCCCCACCAUCAGCUGACACGCGAGCCUUAAUUACGCUCUGCGGCCUCAUUGCGUCUGAGUGAUUGCUCGGGUUAAAUAAAGUUAGCAAUGCAUAUGCACAAAGGCCACCAUUUUAUUUGGUUCACCAAACUAUAAUGCCAAUGGAUUAAGAGGGGAUUAUGUAAUGAGUUCUAUUUGUUAUACUAAUUAGUACCAAAACAACGUCCCACCCUCUCAGGUCUUUCUCAUUCUUAAAUCAACUCCUUAUUGAGUGAUAUUGAAUUUGUCUUAGGAGUCUCGCUGAGUUGUUCUAAAAUAUUUUUUUAAUUGAGCACCAAGUUCGAAUUUUGGAAGAUAUCAGGAGUUAGAAAAUAAAUUUGAAAUUUGCUCACUCUCUUAUCUUUUUAAGGAAAAAAAAGGUGAUAUUGAAUUUCAUUCAACCAUUGAAUAGUAAAAUUUUAUUACUUAUGCAAUUACUUAUAUAUAAGGAUUAGGCUAUGCUAUUAUCCAACAAACAUUUAUACUUUUUGAAAUAAAAUUUUUUAUCAUUUUUUGGAGUUUAAUGAAAGGACGCAAUUACAUCAAAAAUUCUAAAACUAACACCAGUAGGGUAAAAAAAAACAUAUCAAUGAAUUAAUUAUCAUUUGACAUGUCCGUUUUAUGUCGGAAUUGAUAAAAAAAAUUAUAAUUUAAUUGAGGUAUCAAUGAUCAACGUUUCAAGUAUUAAUUGUGUUGAGGUUUAAGUUUGAUGAAAAUGAGCAAACGAAAAUGAGCAAAUGAAGCUUUAUAGGACUGAAAUGCCUUUACUAAUUGGGAAUGAGAAUAUUAGGGGUGUCAAAAAUAACCGCCCAGUUAGGACUCAAACCGAACUCGGCUUUUACCAUUCCUAGAGAAUAUAAAUGAGAGAAUAAGAUUCAUUAAUUUGGUUACUUCCAAAAUAAUGAGGGGAAAUGAGAAUAAAAUUUAAGUGGAUCCCACAAAUUUGAGAAUAUAAAAUGGAAACCACAAUAAUAAGAAAGAUGGGAGAUGAGAAUGAAAAUGACAUAUGAGAAUGAAAAAUGAAUUGAUAUUUGUACUUUUAGUGAAAAUUAAAAAUUCAUUUCAUCCCAUUUAUUAACAACAACAACAACAAUAUUAUUAUUAUUAUUAUUAUUAAUCACUAUUAUUAUAGUAAACAAUAACAAUAAUCAUUUAAGAUAAUCAUAGUAACUUAUAACAAUUCAUUCUGAUUUUAAGAUAAAAUAAACACAUUAAUGACAAAACAAUUCAUUAUGUUGCCAAUUUGGACAGCUAAAGUAAAUAAUCUAUUAUGAUUCUUAUGCCCCCUUUUUUGUCAGUCAUUCCGAUUAAAAUCUAUUUUAAUUCCAACACAUUCCGAUUUCAAACAGUAAAUGGACCAUUAACAUCUUCGUUUUUUAUUCUUCCCUAUUAAUUUCAAUCAGAUUCCCUAAGCAUUUAAGCUUUUUCUUUAAUGAGUAGAGAAUAAAAUUUAUUCUUAACUAAUUGACAAGCCAUACCUUGACCAUCCAACAACUAAAUAAUAUAUAUAGAGAUUCUUUGUCUCCAUUUUAUAUAAUACCUCCUUUAUUCCUCCCUACAUGAAUUUCGUGAACCUUUAAUUGAACUACUUGAGCAUCACAAAACUAUUCGUAAGAUUACUAAAGAGGGCAUUAAUUGUUAAUUAAUAAUAUUCAUUUAGUUAAUAAUUAAUAUGGGUGCACCAUUUUUACCAAAGGGAUUAUUUUUUUUAUUUGACUUCUUUAUAGGAAGAAAGUCAAAUAUCAAAAGUUUAUAAAAUAUAACACUUUAUCCUCCAUUCUAAUUUCAACCCAUUCCGAUUCAAAUUUAUUUUAAUUCUAAUUCUAAUCCAUUCCGAUUAUCUAUUGGUAAAUGGACCAUUAACAUCUUCAUUUUUUUAUUCUUCCCUAUUAAUUUCAAUCAAAUUCCCUAAGCAUUUAAGCUUUUUCUUUAGUGAGUAGAGAAUAAAAUUUAUUCUUAACUAAUUGACAAGCCAUACCUUGACCAUCCAACAACUAAAUAAUAUAUAUAGAGAUUUUUUGUCUCUAUUUUAUAUAAUACUUCCUUUAUUCCUCCCUACAUGAAGAUCGUGAACCUUUAAUUGAACUACUUGAGCAUCACAAAACUAUUUGUAAGAUUACUAAAGAGGACAUUAAUUGUUAAUUAAUAAUAUUCAUUUAGUUAACAAUUAAUAUGGGUGCACCAUUUUUACCAAGGGGAUUAUUUUUUUUUAUUUGAGUUCUUCAUAGUAAGAAAGUCAAAUAUCAAAAGUUUAUAAAAUAUAAAACUUUAUGCUCCAUUCUAAUUUCAACCCAUUCCAAUUUAAAUUUAUUUCAAUUCCAACCCAUUCCGAUUAUCUAUUGGUAAAUGGACCAUUAAUAUCUUCAUUUUUUAUUCUUCCCUAUUAAUUUCAAUCAAAUUCCCUAAGCAUUUAAGCUUUUUCUUUAGUGAGUAGAGAAUAAAAUUUAUUCUUAACUAAUUGACAAGCCAUACCUGACCAUCCAACAACUAAAUAAUAUAUAUAGAGAUUCUUUGUCUCCAUUUUAUAUAAUACCUCCUUGAUUCCUCCCUACAUGAAUUUCGUGAACCUUUAAUUGAACUACUUGAGCAUCACAAAACUAUUCAUAAGAUUACUAAAGAGGGCAUUAAUUGUUAAUUAAUAAUAUUCAUUUAGUUAAUAAUUAAUAUGGGUGCACCAUUUUUACCAAAGGGAUUAUUUUUUUUAUUUGACUUCUUUAUAGGAAGAAAGUCAAAUAUCAAAAGUUUAUAAAAUAUAACACUUUAUCCUCCAUUCUAAUUUCAACUCAUUCCGAUUCAAAUUUAUUUUAAUUCUAAUUCUAAUCCAUUCCGAUUAUCUAUUGGUAAAUGGACCAUUAACAUCUUCAUUUUUUUAUUCUUCCCUAUUAAUUUCAAUCAAAUUCCCUAAGCAUUUAAGCUUUUUCUUUAGUGAGUAGAGAAUAAAAUUUAUUCUUAACUAAUUGUCAAGCCAUACCUUGACCAUCCAACAACUAAAUAAUAUAUAUAGAGAUUUUUUGUCUCUAUUUUAUAUAAUACUUCCUUUAUUCCUCCCUACAUGAAGAUCGUGAACCUUUAAUUGAACUACUUGAGCAUCACAAAACUAUUUGUAAGAUUACUAAAGAGGACAUUAAUUGUUAAUUAAUAAUAUUCAUUUAGUUAAUAAUUAAUAUGGGUGCACCAUUUUUACCAAGGGGAUUAUUUUUUUUAUUUGAGUUCUUCAUAGUAAGAAAGUCAAAUAUCAAAAGUUUAUAAAAUAUAAAACUUUAUGCUCCAUUCUAAUUUCAACCCAUUCCAAUUUAAAUUUAUUUCAAUUCCAACCCAUUCCGAUUAUCUAUUGGUAAAUGGACCAUUAACAACUUCAUUUUUUAUUCUUCCCUAUUACAUUUCAUUCAGAUUCCUUAAACAUUUAAGCUUUUUCUUUAGCGAGUCGAGAAUCAAAUUUACUCUUAACUAAUUGACAAGAUAGACCGUGACCAUCUAACAAUUAAAUAAUAUAUAUAGAGAUUCUUUGCCUCUAUUUUAUAUAAUACUUCCUUUAUUCCUCCCUCUAUGAAGUUCGUGAACCUUUAAUUGAACUACUUGAGCAUCACAAAACUAUUCGUAUGAAAAAUCAUCAACAAUUACAAAAGCAUAGUAUUUACCACGUAGGCUAGCAUAUUUAGAUGGUCGAAACAAAUCCAUGUGAAUGAGUUGAAGUUGUUUUGACGUAAAAAUAUGAAAUUUGUCUUGGAAUGAUGUUUGGACUUGGUUUCCAAAUUGACAUGCAUCAGACUCUCUAUUGUUUUGAAAACCAAUUUUAGGAAGACCUCUUACUAAAUUAUUUUUCGAAAUUUUUGAGAUCAAAUCCAGGUUUGCAUGACCUAGUCUUCUAUGGCAUAACCAACUAUUAUCAUGCAAUGCCGAAAAUCAUUUAUUAUGUGUAGAUACACAUUCUAUAUCAAUGGUAUAAGUAUUGACACAUCUAUUUCGAAUAAACAAAAUUUUACUAUCACAUGCAUUUUCAAUAAAACAUCUAAUUUUAUAAAAAAUAACUUUAUAACCCUUAUCAUAUAAUUGACUAAUACUAAUCAAGUUGUGUUUUAAGUUUUCAACCAAACAUACAUUUUCAAUAAGAGUUGAAGAAAAUUUACUGACUCUACCAAUUCCAAGAAUCUUUCCCUUUGAAUUGUCUCCAAAUGAAACAUCGACACUGUUUUCAAUCUUGGUAAAUCUUGAGAACCAUGUAUGGUUCCAAGUCGUAUGCCUUGAGCAACCAUUGUCUAGGCACCAUUUAUUCUUCUUCUUCUUCAAGCCCUGGAGAGGAAAUCUCGAGUUUUAGGUACUCAAACCUUUUUGGAUCCUUGAGUCUUAGUAAUGGUUUCUUUUGGAACCCAAAUACAUUUGACUCCCUCAUAUGCAUUUCUUUUAACUGGACAUUUAUAUUUCAUAUGACCAUUUUGAUUGCAAUAAUGACAUACAAUUUUAUCAUUAACGGAGGUACUUUUCACAAAGUAAUUCUUGUAAUUUUUUUGUUUCAAGUUUGGCUUGUAGCCAAUGCCUCCUUUAUCAACACAUAUUUUAGUGAACUAUACAAGUUAUCCAACAUCUUUUGUCCAUUUGUAAACUUUAAAAUAACAUCACUUAGUUUAAUAUUCUUUUUCUUGAUUAUCUCAUUUUCCUUUUUCAAGUCAUCUAUAUAUGAUUUUAGAUGCUCGUGAGAAGUACUAUGUUUCUAAUUUGAUAAUGCAACUCUAUCAUGCAAUGCUUUAUUCUCUAAUUCUAGGCAUGUAAUCUUUACACUUAGAGAUUCAUUUUCAUUUGUGAGUUCUACCAUUUUCUUUUUAAUACAUGCAUUCUUUUCAUCAAUUUUUAUCCAAUCACCAUGUUAUUCCUUAAAAGCAUCAUAUAAUUCAUCAUAAAUAGGAUCACUUACCUCAUCAAAUUCGUCAAACGACUCAUUCCUAAUUGUCAUGAGAGCGAGCUUGGACAUCUCUUAUUGCUCUUCAUCACCACUUGUUUCCUCAUUUCUGGCAUCCUAUGUUGCCACCAUUGCCUUCUUCUUGAACUUGUUGAGAAGAGAACACUUUGAUCGUAUAUGUCUAGGAUUCUUACACUCAUAACAAGUGAUUGACUCUUCUUUCUCUUUUUAGUUUUUGUAAUUCCUGAAUCUUCUCCUCUCACUAAUUUUCUUAAAGAAUAUUUUAAACCUUCUGGCCAUUAUAACCAUGUCUUCAUCAUCACGCUCAACUUCCUCAUCACUCUCAUGUUUUGAUACUUUAAGUGCAAUGUUUUUCUUCUUCCUUUUCUUCAUUGUCUUUUUUUUACUUCCAAAUUUUUCUCAUAAGAAAUAAGAGAACCAAUCAAAUCAUCAAUAGGUAAGAUGUUUAAAUCCUUAGUUUCCUAUAUGGCAGUUCUUUUAGGUCUUUAAUAACUCUACGAAAUGAGAGUUCUCAUGAUACUUGUACACUUAUAUUAAUAUUACUUAGAGAGUAAAUGAUGUAUUUUAAUUGUAUUUUAAUUACAUUUGGCAUGACCAUCCAUUUUAGAUUAUUUUUAAUAAAUUGAGUUUGUUUUAAAUUAUUUUGUACUUAAAUUAUAUGCAUAAUUAUAGGUGACUGAAAGCUCAAAUUUUAGGGAUGAAAUACUGCUGCAAUAGACUUGCAGAGAUAAUAAAAAAACUUGGUUACAGAGGAGUUAAAAUAAGUCUGGAACAGUAAAGAUCUUAUAGAUGUUGCUGCAACAAUCCUGGAGCAGUAACAGACUGGAUUUUGCAUGCAACCACUAAAAGGUUGCAAGCUAAAGUUUUCAAAAAUGGAUGAUACGCCCUACACACUCUUAGUUGCCCUAAUCCCAAGUUUUAAAAGGAGCAUGCAUAAAAAGAAAAAGGAAGAGCCAUCACCCAAAGAGAAUACAGAGGAAAAUAAUAAGAAAACAGAAAGUAAGAGAUAGAUUCGAGGGUCGUAACAGAGGACUCAAGGUGAAAACAAAGGAGAAAUCACAAUGACCAAGCAGAACUCAGUUUUUCUUCUUAUUUUCUUGUUUUGUAUUUAUUUUUGGGAAUAUAUUUGAUGGUUAAAAUAGUUUUAUUUAUUAUUCUGGUAAAUCAUGAACUGAAUUCGUUUGUGAUUGAGUGAUAAACGAUCUUAAUGGUUAAUUGACUAGUACAUGUAUGUUGCUCUGAAUUUGUUAUAGCCUUUUCUCUUGAUUUUUAUUAUUAUAAUUUCGUAUUUCCUCUGACCGCCCAUUUGGUGGAAAUUAACUAAGAAAGAGCUUUAAAAAAGUCUACCUUAAUGGAACAAAUUAAGAUAAUACAUGGUUUUAGAUUGAGUUUCCCAAAUUGAGUAAAUCACAAUUUGAAUAGGGUCAUACUUGAUCUAAAAUUGGUGAAGAACUAGACAAAAUGAUUAAUCUUAUAGGGCAAUUAGAACCUAAAAAGUUUAAUGCUAUCUCUAAUGUUAGCAUAACAACUGAUCACUGUUAGGUUAUAUUUAGAUAUAAGAUAUCUAAACAGGCUAUAGCUGAGGAUACAUAAGGAAUUCUGCCCAGUGAUGUAGUAGAUACUGUACCAACAGGUUCUUAAUUAGAAAAACAGUCCACACUAUUAAGUGAGUUUAAUAAUUCAACUACUUUAUUCUCAUUGAUUACAUUCUUGUGUUUGACCUGAGAAUUUUCCUUAUUGUAUUUUUAUUUGAAUUAGUUCAUUAGUUUCAUUAAUUGUUUUAUUCCAAUUUAGAGUGAAACUGCACAGUUAAGAUUGUUAUAGCAAAUAUGAUAAGAUCAAUCCCUAUGGGGACGAUCUGAAUAUUCAUUAAUAUAUUACUUAUUAUGUACACAUGCACAUUAACACCCAUAGUAAUAGAAAUUAUCCAACAGUUUCCAUUUAAUUGGUAAAGACCAAAUGAUCUUCUUAACCUUUUCAUUAUUUGAAAAGGUUUUUCCUAGUGCUCCUAAUGUGUUCACAAUAUUUGUAAACCUAAUAUACAUAGAACAAAUACUUUCAUUUUGUUCCAUUUUGAACAAUUUAUAUUGUCUAGUGUAUCCACUAAACUUAGACUCUUUGACUUGAUUUGUGCCCUGAUAGACAACUUUAAGUUUGUUUUAAAUUUCCUGAGUACUUUCAGAACUAGACACUCUAUAAAACUCUUUCUUAUCAAGUGUACAAAAUAAGGCAUUCAUAGCCUUGGAGUUUAGAGACAACUUUUUCUUUUAUGUCUCACUCCAUUGGCUUGAUGAUUUGGGGAUAUUUUUCCCUUUUUUUAUUUUUGGUAAUGGGUACGAAUGGACCAUCAUUAACAAUUUCCCAAAUUUUGUAGUCUAAAGCCUGUAAAUAAAUUCUCAUACUAGUUUUCUAAUAAAGGUAGUCAUUUCCAUAAAAAAAUAGAGGUCUGGUAGUUGAUUAGCAUUCUCUAAAUGUGGAAUCAUUUUGAGUUGUCAUUGAUCUUUAACUCUAGGCGGUUAAAUCUAAAAAAAAAAAGUAGCUUACUCUGAUACCAAAUGAAAUUCUAACUAAGCAAUCCAAGAGGAGGUGAAUUGGGAUUCUAAAAAUUUAAGUAAUUAAAAUUUAAUGCGAUUUAAACAAAGAAACCAAAUUUGAAGUAAACAAAUUAAUGUAUAAUGAAAAAAUAAGGAGAUAAAGUAAGAGAGAGCAAACAGGCAAUUUUUACGUUGUUCAGCCAACUGUGCCUAUGUGUACACCUCCAAGUCACCGAGCUUGAGGAUUCCACCUUCAAAGCCUUCCAAGGCUUCAAGAAUUCUUACAAUUGACUUCCUAGGUAUCAAUCAACCUUUACAACAAGAGAUUAUCCCAAAUCUCUUAACCUUAGUGUUUCCCACACUUACAUUCACUAAAAAAUGAAUAUUACAAUUGGAUUUUUCUCUCACACAAUAUAUGUGUUUACAAAUGAAAGCUCAAUGAGUGAAUCAAUGGAAGUAAACACAUAUAUUGUGUCGAUCUGUUAAUGCCUAUAAGAUCACCAUUUUUAUUUGAGCAAGUUAUUGUUGAGUCGGAUUUUCAAAUUGUCAAAUUUUUAUUAUCUAAAUGUUGGAUAACCGUUAUCUUCCAGUGACUUGCAGAUAGAUAUCGACAUACCAUUUUUUAGAUGUCGAUCUGUCAUCAGUGUCCAGAGGUUAAACUUCAAUUCUACUCAAUGUCGGUUAAAUGUUUUCCCUUAACCAGUUAGUUAUUUUUAUCUAUAACUUGAACAUUAAAUUUUUGCUAGAUAUCGGUUAGCCGUUUAAACACUAGCGUUAAGCUGAUUUCAUCCAGAGAGUUUAUAAUCCUUUCUUAAUGAAGUCAAUUAGCCAUUUGCUAGUUUGCAGGAAAUCAUUUAUUAUUAGAAUUUUAUUCUAUGCUUAAUUUAUUACACGACUUAAGAAUUUUUGAUCCGUUUAACGACAUGUUCACACUCAGUCAUUUAAAACAAGUUUGUAAUUUUCAAAAUCAUUAUUAAGAAAACAUGCGUGUUAACAAUCUCCCCCUUUUGUAUGAUGACAAACUUUUUCAAGUAUUAUACUAAAAUUUUACUCCCCCUCAAUAUUUGCUCAAUAUAUAAUAAAUUAGCCUCACUUAUUUAUAAAUAAAGAAGUUCAUAAAGCGGUUCACUUAUUUCUCCCCCUUCAUCAUAAAAAAGAAAUAAAAUUGAGAUUGAAAUAGAAAUAGAAAGAUAGGCAAAGAAAUUACCCAUGUGGUUUUUAAAAAAUUUCAGCAGAACCUCUGCUUAAAAAUGGAUAAAUCCUCAAAAACAGAAACAAGUAAGCACUUCUAAAUAAUCAUCUCAAUUUCAAUCACAAACCUUAAUGAUCUCAAGUCUAGCAACAUAACAACAGACAUGCAUAAAUCAUUAAGCAUAAAAAUGAUCAACCAACCAAGAAAACAGGUAAACCUUGAUCACUAAAGACCUCGCCCCCGAGUGAUUUCCAAAGAUCCUUUUAUAAAUCUCUCUCGGCACAUAAUCUGCUUAAUCUUUAUCCAAGUAUCGAAGGAAAGGCAAUGUAUUCCCCAGCCUAUAUAAUACCUCGUCAAUCAAUAUGUACCUAGCUACUUGGCACUUGAGUUUUCUUGCUCGUACUUUGUCUUUCGACAAUGUUCCAUCUCAAAUAUUCGAGAUUAUUGCUUCCAUCAAUGAGUUAUACUUUUCUAUCCUCAUCACAUCUAUUUUUUGCUCAAUGUUUAGGGUGGGUUUAACUUCUACAGAAACUGACUUGGGUAUUGUUGCAUCUGACGUGGCAGCCAUUCUGGCCAAGAUAUCUAUUAAAAAAAAGUUUGUUCUCGAAAUCUGCUCGAUAUCGACAGCCUCAAAUUUCUCCAUCACCUGGUUAGUCUUCUUCAAGUACAAUUCCAUCUUUUUGCCCUUGGCUUGGAAGUUUAGGAGGUGAGAAUCUAUUUGAAUCCUCACUUAAUUUUGCUUGCACUGUAUAAGCUAGCUUCAAUCCUGCUAUGAAGGCUUUAUACUCUACAUGAUUAUUAGUUGCCUUGAAUUCAAACCUUAUAGCAUAUAAAACUUCUUCCCUUUCUGGGCUCCUUGAGAUCACCCCUGCCUCUGCUUCUUGUCCGCUGGAUGAGUCAUUAACUGUUAUUAACCAGAAUUUAUCCCUGUUACUCCUCUCAACUGCCUGAUCAUCAGUAGCUUUCUAGUAUAGCUCCAUGAGUUCUGUUAUAAAAUCUGCUAAUGUUUGUGCUUUGAUUGCUAUGUGAGGUUAAUAGCUUAUGUCAAACUCACUCAGCUCCACUAACUACUUUGCCUUCGAUUUAUACAUUUUUUGUCAAAGUAAUUUAUUCGUCAUCACAUUGAUUGAAUACACCUGAAAAUAUGGUCUUACUUUACGAGCAGCCGUGACCAUGGCUAAUGCCCAUUUCUACAUCUUAGGAUAUCUGAUUCUUGUAUCGAGUAAAGCUUAACUAGUAUAGUACACUGGGUACUAAAUUCUAUCCUCCUCUUGUUUUAGAAUUGAACUCAUGGCCCACUCAGACAUUGUUAGGUAUAAGUAUAAUGUGUCACCUUCUCAUAGUAUAAAUAACAAAGGUGUUUCGAGCAGAUACUUCUUCAACUUCUGAAAUGCUUUCUCGCACUCACUCAAUUUUCUUUCCUCUCUUCACGACCUGAAAGAAGACAUGACACUUGUCUUUUGCCUUUGAUAUGAACCGAUUUAGAGCUGCCAGUUUUCCAAUGAGGCUUUGUAUCUCCUUAAGUGAGCGAGGAGAUUUCAUCUCGAUAAUUGCUCGAAUCUUUUCAAGAUUAGCCUCGAUUUCUCUGUAGUUUACCAUGAAUCCCAAGAACUUCCCUGAGCUUACCCCAAACACACACUUUUCAGGGUUAAACAUCAUCUUGUACCUUUUCAGCAACUCAAAACUCUUCCAAGUGUCUCGUGUGUUUGACUGAAUUUUUAGAUUUAGUGAUCAUGUCGUCUACAUACACCUCUAUAGUGUGACCAAUGAGUGGCUUGAAGAUUUUGUUAACUAGCCUUCAUAUAUUGCACUUGUAUUCUUAAUGUCGAAAGGCAUUACCCUGUAAUAGAAAAACCUUGGAGAUUGUUAGCUUAUAUGGCUAUAAAAUGUUAUUUUAAUGAUAAGAAAUCACACGUUUUAGAUAAACAAAGAAUUACACAAUAUGUUUUUAUCACAAGAAAAUGAUUUUAUGAAAUUAGUUGUUUUCAAGUUUUUGGUUUAAAUUGAAAAGUUUUGAGAACUUUGAAAUCAACAAGUAUUGUUUUAAAAUUCUGGAAAUUAACCUUCAUAACUCUAUGAAAUGAGAGUUAUCAUAAUACUUUUAGGCUUAACUCAAGAUUACUUAAAGAGUAAUUGAUGUGUUUUAGUGCAAUUUUUAUUAUAGUUUGCAUCAGCAUUCAUUUUAGCUUAAGUUUAAUUAAGUUUGCUUGAUUUCGAAUAAUUGUGUGCUUAAAACAUAUGAAUAACUAUAGGUAAUCGAGAGUUCAAAUUUCAUGAGAAGGAUGUUGUAGUAAUGGGCUUAUAAAAAAGACAAAAGAAUAUGGCUAUAGAAGAAUUGGAGCAAAUCUGGAACAAUGCAAAUGUUGUAGCCAUUGCUAUAACAACCAGUGUUGUAGCAAUCCUGGAACAACGACAAAGAAAAUCUUACGCAAAACAAUUAACAUAUUGUGAUAUGUAGUUUCCUAAUCUGGAAGAUGCGAGCCCUGGACAUCCGUUUGCCCUAAUUUUGAGCUAUAAAAGAGGCACACAUGCAAAAGAAAGAGGGGAUAAAAAAGAAAAAGAAACAAAGGAAAAAUAAAUUUUGAGGGCGAGAUUCAAGGCUGCACCAGUGGAGAAUUUGCGGGAAUCAAUUGGAAUUCAGUAUUUCUUAUUCUUUUCUUGUUUUCUUAUUUAUUUCUUGAUCAUAAAGAUGUAUUAGAUGGCUGAGACUAUAUUGUUUACUUUUUUUUCACAAACUAUAAACUAAAUUUACUUGUGGUUGAGUGAUAAAUAAUUUUAAUAGAUCAUUGAUUAAAUUUAUGUGUUGCUGCAUGUUUGUUAUACAUUUUGUUGUGAUAGUAUUUAUUUAAAGUCAUUAUUUUGGCUAACCACCUAUUUAAUGAUACAAGCUAGGAAAGAGCCACAAAGGGCCUAUUUUAGUGGAACAUAUUAGAGCAAUACUUGGUCUUAGAUUGGGUUUCCUGAGUUGAGUUUAACUCGGGCCCAAAAGGGUCAUACUUAAUCUAAAAUUAAUGAUGAACUAGAUAUAGUGAUUCACCUUGUAGGGUAAAUUGAACCUAAACGUGUAAUGUUAUAUCUUAUGAUGACAUAACAAUUAGUCACUGUUAGAUUACAUAUAGAUAUAAGACAUCCAACAUGCGAUAGUUGAAGAUAAAUGAGGAUUCUUCCCAUUGUUGUAGUAGAUGCUGCAGCAACUGAAUCAAAAUUUACAAAAAAUAGUCAAGUCUGUUAGAGAGUUUAAUCACUCAACUAUUUCAUUCCUAUUGAUUGUAUCCUUGUGCUUGACGUUAGAGUUUGCUUUUUUGCAUAUUUUCUUUUUGUAUUUUAUUAGGUAGUUUAUUAGUUUAAUUAUUCAAUCUACUUUCAAUUAAGAUUGUUGUAGUAAUUUCCUUAACAUCAAUUCAUGUGGAGACGAUCUUGAAUACUUAUCAUUAUAUUACUUGUUGUGUACACUUGCACACUGACACCCAUAGCAUUUGAAAUUAUACUAACAAUUGUUUAGCCCCGUUGCCAGGGAAUAAUCGUUUAUUGAAAAUUGUGAAUUUAAUCUAAAUAGUGCUACACAUUAAUCUUAUUUUAAUUAGCUUAUUUUGUUGACAGGAAACUCUUGCAUGCGCAAAUACAAACCUAUUGAGUUUUAAUUUGAUCUAGAGAUUAAGAAGAGAACAUAAAAAUUCGAAAGCUGUUGUAGUAAUGGAUGACUUAGAUGAUGUGGAAAGCUUAAAUCAUCUUAGAGAAAUACAGCUAGUUAAUGGUCGAGAAGGGUAGAAUGGACAAAAUGAUUAAGGAUGACACAACUUAAAAGUAAAUUUUAACUCCCAAGUAUAAGAGUGUCUUGUUGUAUUAUAACUCGGUGAGUCCAAGGUCGAUCCACAAAGAAAAGAUUUAAUUAGUUUAUUUUACUUUAUCUAAAAAUUGAAAUUAAAACUUGAAUAUAAACAACUUAAUUUAAAUGAAACUAUGGAAUUGAACUAGUUAGGGUUAUGGAUCCACUCUUAGAAAUAAAUAAAACUUAAUAAAUUAUUUUUGCCAAUUUUUUUUUAGAUUUGUUACCCAAAAGAUUAAUUAUACAAAUUAUUAUUAUUUUCCCUUUAAUUUUAUGAUGGAUUAAGUAUUUAUUGUGCCAAAAUUUAAUUUGUCUACAAUAAGUCAAAAUACCAUUUCACCAUGUCUUAUAUUAAAAUCUUAAGAAUUUAUUGUGCCAAAUUCAUUUGUUUGUUUACAAUAAAUCAAAAUUUUAAAAUAUAAAACAUGUAUAAAAUUAAAUAGAAAAUAAUUUAAUUUAUAAAAUUAAAAAUAGAAUCUGAUUAAAUCAUAUUAUUUCCUAAGAGUUUCACCUUCCCCUAACUAAUAUUAUUUAGUUAAGCAUAAUUAAAAUAAAAAGAAGUAGUAAAAUUGAAUUACUUAUAAUUAAAAGAAAUAAAAACAACUAAAAUUGGAAAUAAAACUAAUUUUAUUAAUGAAAAUAAUUAUACAAAAUAUUAAAAACACACCUGGAAAUCAAGAUUACAAGGAGAUGGAGAGAAUUUGAGAAGAAGAGAGUUGUAGAGAGAUGAUUAAAACAUAAAAAUGAGGCCCUAUUUAUAGAAAAAUAAAUUCAUAAUCCAGUGCUUUGCGGUCCAUUAUAGGCUUCAUGCAUGUGCUCCUCACAACCCUUAGAUCAAGAUCCAAUGGUUGGUCAAACUUCAAAAGUCAACAUCACACGUGGCAUCAUUUGACUCGUCCGAUUUGCCCAAAGAACGGUUGAGAUUUGGCGGGUUAAUGGGUGGAUCGGGUCGACCCGAAUACAAAGAUUCAGAUCCACCAACUUGCUUCACCAACCAUUGCCACGUGGCACAAUCAUGGCCAUUGAAUCAUGAACGGUUGAGAUUUAGUCAAAAUUGCCAGCUAUCCCAUGCACUCAUAUCUAUUGUAAGCUCAUUUCAUCAUCCAAUCAGUGCUCGGUCAACAGGAAAAGUCAACUUUUUUUACACAAGCCCAAUUUUAAGCCGAUCUUGACUGAUCUUAAAGUUUUCGGACCUCCGAAAUCUAAAUUUGACCUCCGUUUAUCUGUUUGGAGCCUCGAAGUACGUGAAAUUAAUAUUUUUCCUAAUAAACACAUAAAAAUACACAUAAUUAAAUAUAUUGAAAACAUAAUUCAUAAUUCAUAAUAUAUUACAUAAACACAAAUAUAAAUUAUAACAUAAGCAUAAAAUAACAUAUUAUCGCUUGAUAAUUAAACAAUUUUUAAUACUAAUCAAGGGACAACUAGGAAAUAACAUCAUAUACAUGGCAAACGAUAGAGAUAAAGCCAUUAGAGACUAUACCGUGUUGACUACUCAAACCAGUAAUAUUUCAAAUAUUGCAAAUAGUAGGGCAAUUUAAUGGGUUACCCUCAGAGAACCUUUACCUUCAUCUCAAGCUACUUUUGGAAGUUAGUGAUGCUUUAAAAAUUACUGGAGCAUCAUAGGAUGCGUUAAGAAUCAGACUUUUCCCAUAUUCAUUGAGAGAUCGGACACGAGCAUGGUUGAACUCUUUACCACCAGACUCCAUCACAACAUGGAAUGAUUUGGUUGAAAAAUUCUUGAUGAAAUACUUUCCACCAACCAUAAAUGCAAAAUUGAGGAAUGAAAUGACAUUUUUCCAUCAACUUGAAGAUGAAAGUUUGUAUGAUGCAUGAGACAGAUUUAAGAAGGUACUCAGAAGAUGCCCUCAUCAUGGUAUUCCUUAUUGCAUACAAAUGGAAACUUUCUACAAUGAGCUAAAUCCAAGCACUAGAUUGAUGAUUGAUACUUUAGCUAAUGGAGCUUUGUUGUCUAAAUCCUACAAUGAAGCUUACGACAUUUUGGAAAAAAUUGUUAACAACAAUUAUCAAUGACCAUCAACUAAACAAGCUGUAACAAGGGGAGCAACAUGAGUUCAUAAUGUGGAUGCAUUUACAGCACUAUCAGCUCAAGUAACUUCACUAACAAACAUGGUAAAAGCCAUGACCAAUGCUCUAGUAACUGUCCAACAAGUUGCUAAGGUUUUUUGUGUUUGUUGUGGAGAGAGACGCUUGUUUGAUAAUUGUCUCGGGAUUCCAGCUUCAAUCAAUAAUGUGGGCAAUUAUAAUAGACAAUAUCAGAACAAUCCAACUCAAAUACCUAUAAUCCCGGAUGGAGACAGCACCUAAAUUUCUUAUGGAACAACUAGACUCAACAUGUUGCAGCAUCCAAUGAAUAGACGUGCACAUCCACUAAGAUUUCAACAGCAAAAUUAAGGACAGAGAACUGCCAAUAAUGAUCAACUCAGUUCUCUUGAAGCUUUGCUUAAGGAGUACAUUGUGAAAAAUGAAGUAAUUGUCCAAAGCCAAGCUGUAACUAUGAGGAAUCUAAAAAAUCAGAUUAGGUAACUUGUUACAACAAUAAGGAACAGACCUCAGGGCAGUCUACCUAGCAACACAGAAGAUCAAAGAAAUGAAGGAAAAAAACAUUGCAAGGUGAUUAACUUAAGGUCUGAAAAAGAUGUAUUCUUAUUGGUAUGCCAAGGAGAAUGAUAGAACCUAACUUAACCCAAGAGGAAACUUAAGUUAAAGGAGAGCCUCAACAACCCACUUUACAACAUACUUGUGAGGUAUAAUUUUCUCACUUAAAUAUAGUAGAUUUUAUUUUAAGCUAACAAGCCCCUAAAGUUUAUAAUAUUUAAUUUUAAGGAAUGAUGACAUAAGUAAUGACAUAAUAAAUGAUGACAUAAGCGAUGACAUAAGUGAUGAUGUGAGAAGAAGUAUGUAGAAAAAGUUAAGACUUCUAGAAUUUAGUAAGUUCUUUAUGAAGAUUAGUCUCAACCAUUGAUCAAGAGUUGUGGUGGCAAAAUCCUAACCAUCCAUUAGUCUUAAGAAAUUUUAUAAAUACCCCCCACCACCUCUCAUUUUCAAUGCAACCUAAAAAUUUCAUUCCCUUCUAUUGUAAGUCAUAAUAACAAGAGUAGAGGAAUCCUUAAUUUAGAAAGGUCUAGAGAAGUCAAGAUUAAGAGGUAAGUAACAUCUUAACUGUAAUGUAAGGACAAAAUUCUUUUUAUACUUAAAUUCAUUUUUAACAAUUCCUUUAUAUUAUGAUGGCUAUUAUAAUGUGAUUAGUUAUAUCUUUAUAUGGUCAGCCUUGCUACCUAAUAUGUGAUGCUAUGGUGGGCUCUGCUGCCUAAUAUGUGAUGUUAUUGUCGGCUCUGCCGCCUAAUAUAUGAUAUGUUGAGUGAUAGAAAGUGUAGAUUUAUAAAGGAGAAAAUUCUUAUUUUUCAUUUCACGUUUCACUGACGUCCCUACUUUUAGUUAUUUAAGUCUCUUAUGAUUUAAUUAUGUGUGUUUUAUUUUUAUUAAGUAUUUUAUGUAUUUUAGGGACAUCAUGGUCAUUUCACAAUGAAGGAGAGAUCAAACAGCGAAACAGACAUUACUUUUGAACUCAGGACAGUCAAAAACCUUAGGAAGAGUAUAAAAGGAAAAAUGGCAUUGUUCACAUGUACGGUACUGUCCAUGUUACUGUUCACGAUACUGUUCACAUUUACGGAACGAUGACGUGGCAUUGAUUGAAGAUAUGGCAUUGACUAAUGAGGUGUCACGAUUCUAUUGGACUAAAAUUAUUAUAUACUGUUGAUCUGUGACGUGGCAGCAUGUUAAUGGACUAAAAAUCGCACGUAUAGUACAUGCAUAUACACAGAAUUAUUUACAACUAAACCGCGUCACUAUUCAAACCGUGUGGUCAAACCAUGUCACUAUUCAAACCGCGUGGUCAAACCAUGUCACUAUUCAAACCGUGUGGUCAAACCAUGUCACUAUUCAAACCGCGUGGUCAAACUGCGUACGGUUAACUGAUGACAUGGCACAAUCAUGAGUGUCAAAAAUGUUUUUAAUCUGAUGGUCAUGAUUUACUCAGUGUAUCUAUAAAAAGAGGGCUCUUCCCCCCUAAUUUAGCAUCCCUGAAUUCAUUUUUUGAGUUCAAUUUUCUGUAAUUUCUUCUCCAUCUUGUAUUUUCUACAUAUUUUAAUAAAUUCUCAUUUUACCCAUGGUUCAAUUAUGAGUAGCUAAGUUUCUUUCAAGCUUGAGUUAAAGGUGAAGUCUCAACAUGUGCUUUAGGCUUUAUUUGGUAAAUUUACUUUCUCUUUCCCCCUGAUUUUUAUGGAUGUUUUGACUUUUCGUAAACAGAUUGUAACAAUCUUAUCUAGAUACCGCACUGGUUAAACCGGCUCCAUAGUACAAGGUUAUUACUAUUUGACAUGAUAAGCCCUUAGCACUAUAUUGAUUAGAGUAUGGUUCAUAAGGAGUGGAAGCCUCCCUCAUGAUUUAAUUGGCAUUAAUAAAGAAUAUUUAACCCAUAGUGCAUGUUGAUGCAGAUCCAGAUACCCAAGUACUUCAUUUCAAUAGAAUUCGCUUUAAUUUAUUCCCGUCAUUCUAAUUUAAAAUUUAGGAUAUUCCAAAUCAUUUUCACCACAAAUUCAACUACCCACUCAUAAAAUUAAUUAUACAUAUAAUUAAAAUCCACCUCUUCGUGGGAUCGAUACUCGUCACCAUUGAUCUAUUCUACAAUAUAUUCGUGCACUUACAAGUUCAAUAAAAUUUGCACAAUAUGAUACUUAUAUUUAAUUAUGCUAUGGUCAGUUAUUCUGCCUAUACUAAAGACUCUUAUUUUUAAAUAAUGUUGUGUGUUAAUUUUAUUAUGCAUCGAGGAAUUUCAAAUGUCAUAAGGUGCAUUGGAUGCAUGCAUAUAAUGGACUACAAUAUGAAGAAGACGUUUUAGAAAAUGAAUUUAUGAAAAAUAGGUGGUUGUACUACCAGGUGGCAAAGUUCUAAAGAGGAAAAGCCCUCAAAGCUAAGUUGAAAAAAAUCUUUUGGGGACGACGUUACGUAACGCCCAAAAGAUCAACUAAUGAGGCCCAAGGGCAUUUUGUUUAAAGAGUAAAAGUGUCAACCUUGUAGUGCAACAUACCUAGGGCCCAAAUAAAGUUGUUUUGUAUUUUCUAAAUUUAUUUUAAGAGCUUAAUAUGGUCAUCUAUAUGUAUCAUACUUUAUGCAUGCAUCAAAGUGUUAUCUUACUGGGCAUUAACUUACUAAGUCCUUAUAUUGCAGGUAACGAUGAGUAUAGUAAGUUGGCGCCAAGUCCUAACCAUGACGAAGUGCAUAUGGGCAUAAUAGACAUUGGGAUUUUAUAACGGGCUUAGCUUUAUUUCAAUAAAAAUAAACAUCUUAGUUUUGUGUAAAAUAAAAUUUUUAUACUAAGAAGUUUCUGUAUGACUCUUACUUUUUGUAAGAAAGUUUUGUUUGUUGUAAACUUUUAGAAUUCGUAUUUAUAUUAAAAGUAACUGUGUUUUUAAGCAUUUUAAAUAAAUAAUAUAGUGGAGUGUUACAAUACUGGUGAGAGUAGUCAAACUACAACAACUACAGAAAGAAGUGAAUCAGUGCUUGUUGAAGAAGAUGCUGCAGCACCAGUAGCGACAAACUAGAGUAGAUCAAAAGAACAACAACCUCCAUUACUAGUUGCAGCCUAGCAAUUUAGAUACUCACCACUUUUCCUACAAAGAUUUUAGAAGCAGAAACAAUAUAAACAAUUUAACAAAUUCCUAGAAGUGUUAAAACAAUUGCGUAUUAACAUUCCUUUUGUGGAAGCAUUGGAACAAAUGCCAAAUUAAGUGAAAUUUUUUAAGGGUAUUCUAGUAAGGAAAAAAAAAAGCUUGGAGAAUUUGAACCUGUUGCUUUAACACAAAAAUGCAACCACAUGCUUCAAAAUAAAAUUUCUCAAAAAUUAAAAGAUCUAAGGAGCUUUACAAUUCCAUCUUCUAUUGGAACUAGGUAUAAUGGUAGAACACUUUGUGAUUUGGGGGCAAGCAUCAAUCUCAUGCCCUUAUCUGUAUUCAAGCAAUUGGGAGUGGGUGAAUACAUAUCAACAAUAGUAACUCUACAGCUGGCUAACAGAUCUCAUGCCUAUCUUGAAGGAAAAAUUAAAGAUGUGUUAAUAAAGGUAGAUAAAUUUAUUUUUCCAAUGGAUUUCAUUGUAUUGGACUUUGAAGCAGACAAAGAAGUGCCAAUUAUUCUUGGUAGACCUUUCUUAGCCACUGGAAAGACUCUCAUUGAUGUGUAAAAAGGAAAAUUGGUCGUGAGGGUAAAUGAUCAAUAAGUCACAUUCAAUUUGCUGGAUGCUAUGAAAAAUCCGGAUGAGAUUGAAGAUUAUAAUUUCAUCAUUGUUGUGGAUAUUGCUAUGACAGAAAGGUUAAACAGUUGCUGUAGAAAAGAAGAGAUCAGUACUGCUGACUUUGAAGAGUUUGAAGAAAAUGAUACUGCAACAACAAACACAACAUGGCUAGAGGAAAAACAACCAGUGAGGCAUGACAAACCUUUUAAACCUCUAAACCUCUAAAAAAGGGAAGUAAAACUAUUUGUACCAUUUAUUGAAUCACCUUUUAUUUUGGAAUUGAAAAUCUUACCUUUACAUUUAAAAUAUGUUUAUCUUGGCAAAACAAUACACUUCCCGUAAUAAUUUCGUCAUAUUUGAAUGCAGGUCAAGAGAAAAGCCUAAUAGAAGUAUUGAGGAGAUACAAGAAAGCUAUUGGAUGAACCAUGACAGAUAUGAAGGGAAUCAACCCAUCUAUAUGCAUGCAUAAAAUUUUACUAGAAGAUUGCUACAACAAUUCAAUAGAACAACAAAGGCGAUUAAACUUAUCAUGAAGGAAGUUGUGAAGAAUGAGAUCAUAAAAUGGCUUGAAGUUUGCUCUCAUCUCAUUUCGUAGUUCAUCAAUGGUGCGAUUUUAUUGGUUGAUCAUGGAAUGAGUAAGAUUCUUGAAAUUUUGGAAUGCAUCUUAUCAUGGUCUGGUUUGAAAGUAGUUCGGGUUUUGAUUGUAUGGUCUAAAUGGUGGCUAAGAGGCUUGAGAAAUUUGAGGAAUUUGUUGCAUUGUUGGAGCUAGAGCUGGAGUUGCUGAUCCAUUCUGUUGGAACCCUUGACACCAUGAAAAAUUAAGAUGGUCUCUCCAUCCAAGAUUAUUGUUGUGCAAAUUUUAAUGUACUCGCAAGCGCACGAAUCUAUUGUAGUAUAGACUAAUGGUGACGAGUGUUGAUCCCACGAGGAGGUGGAUUUUAAUUGUGUAUAGAAUUAAUUUUGUAAAUCAGGGAUUGGAUUUAUGGUAGAAAUGAUUUGGAAUAUGCUAAAACUUAAAUUAAAAUGGCGAGAAUAAAUAGAAGAUAGAUCUAUUGAAAUGAAGCACUUGGGUAUCCGGAUCCGUAUCAACAUGCAUCAUGGGCUAAAUAAUCCUUAUUAAUGCCAAUUAAAUCAUGAGGGGGGAAUCCACACCUCAUGAACCACGCUCUAAUCAAUAUGGUGCUAAGGGCUUAUCGUGCCAAAUAAUAAUAACCUUGUACUAGAGAGCCGGUGUAACCAAGGCGGUAUCUAGACAAGAUCAGUAUUAUUUGUCGACGAAAAGUCAAAUCAUCCACAAAAACUAGAGGGGAAAAGAAAAUAAAUUUACCAAAUAAACCCCUUGAUACAUGUUGAGACUUCACCUUCAACCCAAGCUUGAAAGAAAAUUAGCUACUCAUAAUUGAACUAGGGGUAAAAUGGGAAUUUAUUAAAAUACGUAGAAAAUACAAGAUGGAGAGGGAAUUACAGAAAAUGGAUCCCAAAAAUGGAUUCAGAGCUAUCAAAUUAGGGGAGAGAGGCCCCCUUUUUAUAGAUACAUGGAGUAAAUCAUGGCCAUCGGAUUAAAAACAGUUUGGACGCUCAGGAUUGCGCCACGUCAUCGGUCAACAGUACGCGGUUUGACCACACGGAUGAACAGUAACACGGUUUGACCUGGAUGAACAGUAACGCGAUUUGGUUGACAAUAAUCCUGUGUGAUGCAUGUACCGUACGCGAGAUUUUUCGUCCACUGAUAUGCUGCCACGUCACCAUCAACAGUACAUAAGAAUUUUAGCCCAACAGGAUCGUGACACCUCAUCAGUCAAUGCCACGUCAUCAGUCAAUGCCACGUCAUCGAUCCGUCUAUGUGAACAGUAUUGUAAACAGUAACGUAGACAGUACCGUACACGUGAAUAGUACCGUACAUGUGAAUAGUGCUAUUUUUCCUUUUAUGCUCCUCCUAAGGUUUUCGACCGUCCUGAGUCCAAAAGUGAUGUCCGUUUUGCCGUCUGAUCUCUCCUUUAUUGUGAAAUGACUAUAAUGCCCUUAAAAUACAUAAAAUACUUAAUUAAAAUAAAACACAUGUAAUUAAAUCACAAGAAGGUUAAAUACAUAAAAGUAAGGGUUGUUAGUAAGACUUGAAAUGUAAAAUGACGGUUUUCUCCUUUAUAAAUAUGUAUUUUCUAACACUCAACACACCCCCCAACCAGCUUAUUGCUAGUCCCUAGCAAAUAAAGCGAAAACAAAAUUCAAAUUCAAAAUGAUUUUUUUUUUUUUUUUAGAAACACUCAUGUUUAUUCAAUCAGAUUAAUGAUAGCAAUCAAAUAAAAGUAUAAGCAUUAUCUCCAAUUUAAAGCAACAUCACACCCACAUCAACCAUCCACAUGAAUCAGCCCAGUACACUUUGGUAUAGCUACUUUCAAAAAUGACAUGUCAAAUCCCAAAAUCUCACUGGAAGUAGUGACACUCUCACAAAGAAAUUAAAACCAAUAAAAAUAGUCACUCCAAUUAAUGGUAAUUGAGAGAGAAAAUAAUAAAGAAGUGAUAUCACAUGCUCUCACCAAGAUGAAAUAAAUAUGCCCUCAGCUUAGAAAUAAUACGAUCUCAAGUCAAACAAAAAUGCUAGUCAACCCAAUUUAUUUAUCUUUUUUUUUUCUUUUAUUUAUUUAUUUAUUUUUAUUAUGCAUCACUACAUCUUUUUAGCCCAUAUAACUAGCUUUUACUUCAAACUAUAGUUCCCUAAAAUCAAGAAGGACUUUUAUUAGGAUGUAACGUAGGCUAGGGAUAUGGCUAACAAAGAAAGGAAAUAAGGAAAACAAAGUGUAUGUUUGAGAAAAAUGCAGAGAAAUUUUUUUUUUUUUUUUAAAGUUGCAAGGUGGAUUUCACCUAUUAUUGUUAUUUUUAUUCUUUUGAAACAACAACUUUUGUUUUUUUUUUUCUUUUUGCUUUUAUUUGGCAUAACUUCACUGAACAACAUAAUUAUUUACAUUUUCUCAAACAUAAAUAGGUGAUGGAACUUAUAAGACAUCGGGUAAUACUCCAAAUUGGAGUGGGUCAAGAGGAUAAGUUGACAAAGAAAAGGUUUUUUUUUUUUUUUUUUUUUUAAGGCUCAAAAGGGUUAACUAUGGAUAUUUAAUAAAAGGGAUGGCUAGAAAGGCUCAAACGGAUCAAAGAUGGCUUUUCCAUCGUCUUUUAGGGCUCUAAAUAAUCAUCCAUAUCUACUAGUUAAACGGGCCUCCAAAUGUAGCAACACAAUUUUUUUUUUUAAUUUACCAUUUUUUAAGGGUUAACUCAAAAGAAAUCUAGAGAUCGUGUAUAAAAUAAUAAACUGCUAAGCUGUAUAGAGAAUGGGCAAAAGGGUUACUCUCCAAGAAAAUAAUAGGCUCAACAACUCACUUGGCACUUAUUUAUGACAUGUUCAUUCCUUCAAGCAACUCAUAUUUGUCUCCGACAUCAACAUGUAAAGUAGCAAACAUAGCGUAACAUCACUAUUCUAAACAUGAAAGGAAAAUACAAAUACUAAAAUUUGAAAUUAAUCAUGUCAUCCAAUGUUAAAAUAAAUAACACAAUUUUUUUUUUUAAACAACAUUCUACCCCCCAACCUAUUCUAAACAUGAAAGGAAAAUAUGCAUGCAGAAAUGUGAAAAUGAUGCAUAAAAACUAAUUAGAAAAGUUACACUUAAAAUGAUAGAAAACGAAAUGGUUUUUUUUUUUUUUUUUUAAACUUAGAAGAUGCGUUUCUAGAGGCAAUACACUCCAUAUUCAGCCAUGUUCGACUCAAAAAUUUGAAAAUAUAUAUUUAUAAAGGAGAAAGAGGAAGAAAAUUGUUUUUUUUUUUAAACGAUGAAGAUGCGUUUCUAGAGUAACUACACUCCAUAUUCAGCCAUCUUCAACACAAAACGUUAGCAACAGUUAGUUUCUACAAUAAAAAAUCAGUAAAAACUUAACCAAGAUUCCACAAUUGUCGACUAUUCCCUCCCCCAACAGAACGAAACAUUGUCCUCAAUGUUUUAAAGGAAAGAAGUAGAGUUUAGAAGACAUCACCUGGGUGGUGCAACACAAAAGAAAAUAUUUACAGGCGGAGAGUUAAAUCUAAUUUGUACUUCUUACUGCGGCUACUGUUACCAUCAUUAUUUGGUCGCUCCAACACAAAGGUCCAGGGGUCUGGCUCCGGUUUAUAAGCUUGUAACAUAUCAAGUAGCUCAUUAGCAGUGUAAGCACAAAUAAAGAGUUUUUUCACAUUAGAAAGAAUGAAAUAGUUUUUUAUUGCAUGGUUAAGAAAUGCGAUAAAGCCAUCAUAAAAGUUAUUGACAUUUAACAAACCGAUGGGUUUCUGGUGAAUGUGUAGAUGGGCCCAAGAUGCUAGUGUCAUAAGUGCCUCUAGUGUUGCAAGAUCUCCUGGAAGGAAAAUAAAAGCAUCAACAUGAUUAAGCAUUUCAGUUAUUUUUUCUUGCAUACCUGAGACGACUAACUCUUCUCCAGUCGAUGAGUCAGAAGAACUGCCCAAAGGUUUUAGGGCUCUUGGGAUGAUGCCUAGCACUUGACUUCCUCUGAUAAAAGCUGCUUCUGAGACCAUUUUUGGUAACCCUCGAUUACCUCCUCCAUACACCAAAUGUAAUUUUCUCGCUGCUAUACUUCGACCAAGAUCUAUGGCUGCCUCCACGAACUCUUUAUGUUUGCCAUAGGUAAAUCCAGAAAGCACACAAAUGUUCUUGAAUUGUCUAUUGGGAGUAGCUGCCAUUGUGAUACUUCUCAAAAAUAAUUUGUGAGUACUUGACAAAAAUUAAAUCACAUUUAAGAAUCUUGGUGACAGUGGAUCACAGCUGUGAAUGAGGUAACAUGUCAGUGUCAAAUAACGCGUAAAGCACGUGGCUCGCGAGUCAAAAAGGAAAUAGUAAAAAGGAAAAAGCAAACAGUAAUAAAAUUAUUAAAGACAAUAAUGCAAUCGAUAAAACAACAGUAAAAUAAAACAACAGUAAAGUAAAAGGAUAUUUACAGGUAGUUGCGACUGUGGCUCACAUCUUCCUCUGGUUUUACGUCCAGAAACGGUUUGAACGCCCUCUAUGGGUCGAGGAUGGGCUUCCCAUCCAGUUUUCUUAUAAACUGGCAAACAGGGUCGUUUAUAGUCAGAUUCCUAAGACUAUAUCGUGCAUGCUCUUUCUGGAAUAAUGGUCAUAACUGGAGAAUCGCUCCUUGCACAUAUCCACUGGGAUGCGUUUCAAGAGACAAAAGAAUAUCAUCCAAUGACUCCUUAUUCAAGCCAUCCCUAAUGAAUUGAAUCUUAUAUUCCCUGUUAUCAGACACCAUUCCUAAAGAACAUGGGUUUUUAUCGCAUCUCAUUCUGGCACACUUAUGACAAGCAACAGAAAUUCUUUGAGCUCGUCGUUUUCGUGCAUAAUUUCCUUUACCACAACCAGGCAUGUAUGCAAUAAAUUUUGGAGGUAACUCACCUACCAAUCGUACUUUAGCCUCGAUUAACCAACGGAUGUCAGCAGGUAUGUUAUUCCUCAUGAGCAAUCGCAUGCGUUCGGACCGGGCUUUAUAGAUUGUAAGGAGGGCAUUCUGAGGAAGUGAAGGGAAUCGCUUGUGAAGCUUUGCUAGAAUCUCGUUUCUAUCCAUACCUUCGCCUUAGAAUAUCAGUUAUUAUGGGAAACUGAAGUAACCGACUUGAUUGUCACGGAGUACCGUUAUCCGCCACUUCACCGGGGUAACAAACUAAAGCACACAAACAGAAAAACAAAUCAAAACACACAAAGAAAAUUAAAAUCGUCCUCUUAUUGAAUUUACCUCAAGCUCCAACUGGAUGUCGUAAACACUUCUCUCAAUAUCUCGGAGUUGGCUUUCUAGAUUCUCAACAUAGGCUACUAACUCUGGUGGUUGAAGAGCCCAAAUGCGAUGUGUUUUACAAAAUUGAAUCUGCCUUUUGAGAUGAGUUAGUUUUAACACGUUGAAGUGGUUUAAGAAUGUUCAGGAGGAACGGUCUAAGUAAGGUACUCAUGAUUAAAAAUGAUAAGAGAAAACUUAAUUGUUAAACAAACACACUUAUGCAAAAAUAAUUUCAAUUAGCAAAAGAAUAAUAAAAAGAAAUAAAGAAAAAUCAAAUCAACGAAAAGAAGAAUAAAAAUCAAUUCAAAUCUGGUGGGUCACUCAAAUUUAUUUCGGUGUCUUCUCCAUGUGGUUGGUAUUCUAGAUAUGACUUUAAUCUUUGACCAUUAACUUUAAACGUGACACCGUUCUUUGGGUCCUUAAUUUCAAUUGCCCCAUGUGGAAAAACAGUAUGAACAAUAAAGGGACUAGACCAUCGAGAGCGUAACUUACCUGGGAAUAGGUGCAAGCGAGAAUUGAAUAAAAGCACUUUCUGACUUGGAGUGAACGAUUUUCUCAUAAUUUGCUUGUCAUGAAAGACUUUCAUUCGUUGCUUGUAAAUUUUGGCAUUUUCGUAUGCAUCAUUGCGAAUUUCUUCAAGUUCUGCCAGUUGUAAUCUUCUUUCUGAGCUGGCUUGCUGCAUGUCAAAGUUGAAUUUCUUGAUGGCCCAAUAUGCACGAUGCUCAAGUUCCACAGGUAGGUGGCAAGCUUUUCCAUAUACUAGCCUGUAGGGUGACAUCCCAAUCGGGGUCUUGAAAGCCGUUCUAUAUGCCCAUAAUGCAUCAUCAAGUCUUAAUGACCAAUCUUUUCUGUCUGGCCUCACCGUCUUUUCUAAUAUGUGCUUUAUUUCUCGAUUGGAGAUCUCAACUUGGCCACUGGUUUGCGGAUGAUACGGGGUUGCCACUUUGUGUGUGAUUGAAUACUUUGUCAAAAGAGCUUUGAAUGCUUUGUUACAAAAGUGGGCACCACCAUCACUGAUUAUUGCUCGAGGGAAUCCAAAGCGCGAAACAAUGUUGCUUUUCAAAAAUCCUAUCACCACCUUGUGAUCAUUGGUUCUACAUGGAAUUGCUUCUACCUAUUUUGAGACGUAGUCAACACCAACCAAUAUGUAUUAAUGGCCAAAAAAAUGGGGAAAUGGUCCCAUGAAGUCGAUACCCCAUACGUCAAAAAUCUCAACCACUAAAAUUGGAUUUAGUGGCAUCAUGUUCCUUCGUGUAAUGCUCCCCAUUCGUUGACACCUAUCACAUGAAGAACAAAAAGUGUAAGCGUCUCGAAAUAUAGUUGGCCAAUAGAAACCACAUUGUAAAACUUUAGUAGCCGUUUUCUUAGCACUGAAAUGGCCUCAACAAGGUUGUUCAUGGAAAAAUGAAAGGAUAUUCUGAAUUUCACUUUCUGGGACACAUCGUCUAACAAUUUGGUCUGCACAAUACUUGAACAAAUAAGCGUCAUCCCAAAAGAAAUUCUUUAUUUCCGCAAAAAAUUUGGUCUUGUCUUGCUUGGUCCAAUGCUCUGGAAGUUUACUUGUAACAAGAUAAUUAACUAUAUCAACAUACCAAGGUAAUACUUCUACACUCAUCAAUUGUACAUCUGGAAAUGACUUAUUCAAUAUUAAUGGCUCUGUAAUUGUGUCAAAAUGGAGACGAGAGAGAUGAUCCGCCACAACAUUUUUUGUCCCUUUCUUAUCUUUGAAUUCCAAGUCAAAUUCCUGCAAAAGUAACACCCAACGAAUUAGUCUAUCUUUUGCAUCUUUCUUUGUGAGAAGAUAUUUAAGAGCAGCAUGAUCUGUGAAUAUAAUUAUUUUAUAACCAAUGAGAUAAGAUCGAAAUUUCUCUAAUGCAAACACUACUGCUAGCAUUUCUUUUUCAGUAGUUGAAUAGUUCAACUGUGCAUCAUUCAAUGUCAUACUAGCAUAGUAAAUAACAUGGGGAAUUCAAUCAACUCUUUGUCCUAAUACUGCUCCUACUGCAUAAUCAGAUGCAUCACACAUGAGCUCAAAUGGUAAGCUCCAGUUUGGGGCCUGAAUGAUGGGUGAUGAUGUCAACAACUGCUUUAGUUUUUCAAAUGCCACAAGACAUAAAUCAUUAAAGAUAAAAGGUACAUCCUUAGCAAGUAAAUUACAUAAGGGUCUAGAAACUUUGCUAAAAUCUUUAAUGAAACGUCUAUAGAAACCAGCAUGCCCAAGGAAAGAUCUUACUUCUCUGACUGUUUUAGGUGGAGGAAGAUUAGAAAUGAGAUCCACUUUGGCUUUGUCAACCUCAAUACCUUUGCUCAAAAUGAUGUGACCGAGAACAAUACCUUGUUUUACCAUAAAAUGGCACUUCUCCCAAUUCAAGACUAAGUUCUUCUCGGUACAUCUUUGCAGAACUAGCGUUAGAUGAUGUAAAUAUUGAUCAAACGAGUCACCAAAGACAGAAAAGUCAUCCAUAAAGACUUUAAGGAAUCGUUCAACCAUAUCAGAAAAAAUGCUUAACAUGCAUCGUUGAAAUGUAGCAGGUGCAUUACAUAAUCCAAAUGGCAUUCUCCUAUAUGCAAAUGUGCAUAUUGAACUCGCAAGUGUACGAAUAUAUUCUAGAAUAAAUCAACGGUGACGAGUGUCGAUUCUACAAGAAGAUGGAUUUUAAUUGUGUGUAGAGUUAAUUUUCUAAGCGGUGGUUAGAAUCGUGGUGAAAGUAAUUUAAACUAUCUUAAAAUUUAAAUUAGAAUGGCGGGAAUAAAUUAAAGUGCAAACUAUUAAAAUGAAGUACUUGGGUAUCUAGAUAUGCACUCAACAUGCAACAUAGGCUUAAUAUUCCUUAUUAGUACCAAUUAAAUCAUGAGGGAGAAGGGGUUUGCACUCCUCGUGAACCUCACUCAAAUAAAUAUGGUGCUAAGUGCUUAUCGUGUCAAAUAGUAAUAGCCUUGCACUAGGGAGACGAUUAUACCAGUGUAAUAUCUAGACAAAAUUAUUAUUAUUUGUCGACGAAAAGUAAAACAUCCACAUGAAUCAAAGGGGAAGAGAAAGUAAAUUUACCAAAUUAAACCCAUGGAACAUGUUAAGACAUCACCUUCAACCUAAGCUUGAAAGAAAAUUAGCUACUCAUAAUUGAAGUAGGGUAAAAUGAGAAUUUAUUAAAAUACGUAGAAAAUACAAAAUAGAGAAGGAAUUACAGAAAAUAGGGCUCAAAAAUGAAUUCAGGGAUGCCAAAUUAGGGGGGAUCCCUCUAUUUAUAGAUACAAUGAGUAAAUUAUGACCAUCAGAUUAAAACAAUUUAGACGCUCAGGAUUGCGACAUGUGGCAAGUUCUGACUGGAUAGAACACAUCAUCAGGGUUGUCAUUCCAUGUAUAUGCAUGUACCGUAUGCACGUUUUUUCAGUCCAUUAAUAUACUACCACGUCAUCGGUCAACGCCACAUCAACAUUUUAGUCCACUAAGAUCGUGACACAUUAUCGGUUAACAUCACAUAAGAAGUCAAUGCACAUUAUCGCACCGUAUAUGUGAACAAUGUCGUGAACCGUUUUAUACAUGUGAAUAGGUCGUUUAUUCUUUUAUACUCCUCCUAAGGUUUUCGACUAUCCUGAGUUCAAAAUUGUUAUUCGUUUUGGUAUCUGAUCUCUCGUUCAUUGUGAAAUGACCAUGAUAUCCCCUAAAAUACAUAAAAUACUUAAUUAAAUUACAAGAGACUUAAAUACAUAAAAGUAGGGAAGUUAGUAAGACUUGGAGUGUAAAAUGACGAUUUUCUCCUUUAUAAAUAUACAAUUUUUAGCACUCAACAUUCAUGAACAACCUCGGAGUUCUUUUUGGUACCCAUAGAUACCCUAACAUCUAGGAUAAGGUUUAAGACGAAGAAAUGUUUUCAGCAUAGACCCACCUGCUAAAGUUCUUAUUACAAACCAACUUCUACUACCUACAUAUCAAACAAUUCAUGGAAUUGAACAAAACUAGGACCACGGAUUUUGAGAAUCCUCAGCUCAACGCCUGCUUCCAUUUUAGACCACAUCUCAUACUCCAUUUGCAUGUUUCGGUACUUUUCUUUCUUCUAUAGUAAGAAGCAUAUCAGUUGAUGAGGACUUUAUUAAAUAAAAAAAUAACAAAUAAAUAUUGAGUACCCACUAACCACACCUCCCAAGUGGAAAAUUAUAUUAAUUGUUUGAAUUGUUUGAUAGGUAGACGAUAGAAUGUGGUUUGUGAUAAGAACUUUAGCAGGCGAGUCUAUGCUAGGAACAUUUAUUGAUUUUAAAGCUUAUCCCGAAUGUUGGGGUAGCAUAUGGCCAACAAAAUAAAUUUUCAGAUUGUUCAUGACCAUCGAUGCAUUUUCCUUGAAAUUAUGUAGCUCUACCCUUGUUCAUAAGUAAUGUGUUUGGACCUUCACACUUGUUUUUCAGAUUUUAAUUGAAAUAUAAGUGUGCAACCCAAGAGGGGUGUGAAUUGAAAAUUUAAAAAUUAACCUAGCAAAUCCACACAACAAGCAAUCUAAUGCCUUAAUAAAAAUUGAAAGCAAUAAGUUUAAUAAAGGCACAAUAAUUAAAGAGUAAGGGAGAAGAGAAACAAACACACGAAUUUUUACGUGGUUCGGCAAUCCCCGCCUACGUCCACGCCUCCAAGCAAUCCAAGCUUGAGGAUUUCACUAUCCAAGCCUUUCCGAGGCUUCAACCGAUUACAAUUGACUUCGAGGUGUCAAUAAACCUUUGCAACAAAGAGAUUAUCUCUCAAUCUCUUCACUCAAGUGUCUCGCACACUCAAACUCUUACAAAUGAAAUGAAGAAAUGAAAGUUACAAUCAAACUCACUCAAUGAGUAGAUAUUCAAAGAUGAAGAACAAUGAAUGAUUCAAUGUUUUGUGUUUUGCAAGUUGUAAGCUCAAGAUAUCACGUGUGCUUUUUGUUUUUGCUUGUUGGAGAGCUUCAAAAUGAGUUGGAUUUGAGUUCUUAUAGUUUGAGCUCGAAAACUAGCCGUUACUCACAUUCCAAGCGUAUCCGGUUUGCCGUUUAUGGAAUCCGGUAAGCCGGAUUUAUGUUACCGUUAAGGCAAAAUUUUGAAUUUUGCCUAACCGGCUGGCCGGAUUCAGAAUCCGGCAAGCCGUUUUCGUUCUGGAUACAUUCUGCCCCGAAUCUGAUUUUCCAGUUUUUAUAACCGGUAAGCCGGAUGCUACAGUAACCUGCUACAGUGAAAUUUUUCUUAAAUUUUCAAUUUGACCCCAAAACUUUAUAAAACUGUAGUAUGGCCCAAAACGUUAUGAAACUUUAUAAAUAGGUCCAAUUUCAGAAUUUCUAAAUAAUGCUUCGUUAAUCCCAAAACUUUCUAAAAUUAUGAUUUUGCCCAAACUUUGUGAAAUUAUAAAAUGACCCAAAAACAUUUAAAUAGUUUCAAAUAGGUCCAAAUCUGAAAUUUAAAACACUAUCAAAGAUUUUGAAAUUACUUUCAUUUUAGUCCAAAAUGCUUUAAUUCCAUAACAUCAUUUUCUUAUUAUAAAAGCACAAUUCAUAAAUCUUUACUUAAUAAAUACAUGUGGUUUGUUAUCAUCAAAAUCAAUAUUUAUAGCCAUAUAGGCUAACAUUAAUUUGAUUUGAUAAGAAAGAAGAGAUGGUGGAAAUCCACAUUAGUUGUGUGGAUUGUGUGAUAUGUAGACAAUAAAAGUUGGUUUUUAAUAAGAACUUUAGCAGGUGGUUCUAUGUUGGAAACAUUUCUUGGUCUUAAAGGUUAUCCUGAAUGUCGAGGUAGCUAUGGAUAGCAAAAAGAAUUUUGAGGUUGUUCAUGACCACCAGUGCAUUUUCCUUGAAACUAUGUAGCACUGUCCACAAGUAGGAGAACCUCCAGCCUCAAAGGGCUUGCUAGGUUCAACAACAAGAAACACAUAAUCCCUAAUCUGACACUUCUCACACUGACAAUUAACAAUUAACAAAUCAAGAUUAGGAAAUAAUGAACAGAACAAUAAAUUUUCAAUAAAUCUACACGAUUAUAGCAACAAAAAAUUAAACUCCAAACAACUUGAGAACGAGGAGCAAAUAACAGAAUAGGCUACAUACAGAAAGAAUUCGGGCAGAACUCGGCUUGCUAGUUAGCUACAAAUACCAAAUUUUCUAAUAUUUUAAUUGACCAAAUUUAAACAACUCAAAUUUGAAUGAAUUUGUAUGGAAGUAUUUGGGAAUAGGUAUCAAUAUCAUUCAUGUUUAAACGAAAACAUAAACAUAUGAUUUUGAUAAACAUUUGAAUAUAUUUAUAAAAUGAUAAUAAACAGAGAAGUUGGACAUGAAAUUAAUAAUAAACAGAGAAUUUAGUCCUCUACAUGUAACUUUAGACUAUAAGAUGGGGGAGGAAAAUUCCUAAAACUAAUUAGAAAUUUAAGACAGUAAUAGAUCAAAAUUAAGCCUUAAAUUAAUAUGAACUUGAAUGGAAAAUACAAUUUUAUUAAUAAAAAGUCUCAAAAUAAUUUUCAGAUCCAUCGAUCAGAACCACACCGUCUUUGACACCAAUUUCUUAUAUCAGUGUAAUCCUUUACAAAAUCGCCACAUUUGGCGCAGCCAAAAUAGAUACUAAUAAAAAAAUCAGUAAAGAAUAAUAAUAAUAUAAAAAAAUACAUAAAAUUAAGAACAUACGAGAUUUUGAUGCUUCGCAGUUUUCGAUUUGGCAUUGCUUACUGGUUGAACAUGAUGAAACCCAACGAGAAUUCUCGCAACUCUGAGUCUCCGAUAGAAUUUAUAGUUCAGUGUUUGGGAGGUGAGAAAGUAAAAAGGUAAUUGAAAGAAAACAGAGAGAAUAGUAGAAGAAUCUAAAGAAGUUUUCCUAUUUAAUCUGGAAAACUUAAAAACAAUUGUUUACAAUAUCGGUAUAUAUAUAUGUUAACAACUUCUCACUGUUACAAUUUGAAAGUAUGUAAAACUGAAUCUAACUAAUUGCCAAGUGGGCUGUAAUCAAGACUACCCUCUACAUCCACAAUAUUCUCGUUGGUAGCUUCUUAACACUCAAUUUGACCGUGUCACUCGCUCUCUGAAAAUAAAAUAAAAUAAAAUAAAGAAAGCUGAGAGCCGGUGAUUUAAGGAAUACCCUUAAUUUUGAUAUUUAUUUUAUAGUGCCAGAAAUUCUAAAUGCCAAGGGUGUGGUUUUUAAGCUGUCGGCAUCCCGUUCUGAGCCUUCUAAAUUUUUUAAAUUGAGCCCAAGGGUAUUUAAGGUUUCCUAGUCCAAAGUCCCUUCAAGCAUUUAAGUUUUGCCUAGCUCAUAGCCCAUUGUGGAAUUUUGGCUCAUUUCUGGAUUCACACAAUUAUAAACUAUCCUUUUUAUAAUUUUAAAGAGACUAUUUAUAUUCUAGAAAUUAUUUUAAAUAUUCUAUUAUUUUUAUUAAAUUUAAAAAAUUAAAUUUUAUUCCGUAUAUUUAAAUCUUAUUCCGUAUAUUCUCUAAAAUACCUUAAUUUAAACCAUCUAAUUUAGUUUACUCAAAACAUUAAAAAAAUUAUUUUGCUCAAAACACCAAUAAAUUUGAAAUUUAUCAUAUGCUUACGAAAAAUGAAAUCAAGUCACAAUUGUAUACAAACUUUUUAACAGCAUUUUAGUUAUUAACUUUUGUUUAUUAAAGAAUAUACAAUAUUUGUUUCCCAAUUCUUUAAUAUCAAGAAUUAUGAUUUUUCCUUUGCCAUCCAGUCAUAAUAAUAAAAAAUAAAAAAACCGUCUCACAGGAGAAGAAGAAUAAGAUGACGACGUUAGAAGAUGCUAUUGUCGGAUGCUGCUCUAGUUGAUUUGGCUUCAACUUCAGCAAUACUUUGAUUUAAUUUUAUUUUUGAAACAUAAAGGGUUGAACAUAUUUUGUAGUUUAAAUAUUUUAUAAUAUUAUUCAUUAAAGAUCUGAAGUCUGAAAUUUUAUUAAUUUCAGUUUUUUAAAAAUUUACUUAUGUACUUUUUGUAACUUAUAUUUGAUUUUUAGACAUUUACAUUUGAAUAGAAAAAAAGUAAACUUUUUGUGACUUUUAUUUAAAUGAGAAUUAAAUAUUAUAUUAAGAAAAUAUCUCUAUUAAAUAUACUUAUUUCAGAAGAUAUAAAGCCUAAUUUUUUUUACUCAUAUGACAUAAGUGUUAAAUAAUUAUGUCUAAGAUAUUUUUUUAUUUUAUAAAAACAAACUAGAUGUCAUUUAUAUUCAGAUAUUUAAAAAAAAUAACAUGUCAUCCACAUUUAUAUUCAAACUCAUUUAGAAUUCAGAAAAAUUCAGACCCAUUUAUAUUUCAGAUAAAAAAAAUUACUAUCUAAGUUUUGUUUAAGAUACUUGAUUUAAUAUUUUUAAGAUGUAAAAAGUAGAAUUAUAAGUUGAAUAAUAAAUGUGUUAUAUGAUUGCUAAAAAUAAUUAUUUAAUAUUAACUCAUAACAAAUUAUCCUUAAUAGUAAUUUAAAUUACAGAUAUUUUGUAACAAAUUAUUUUUUAAAAUAAUAAUCUUUAAAGUUAGCAAAUGAUGAUAACUAAAUACAUUUUAUUAACUUAUGGUGAACGACUGAUAUACUCUAAAAAUAUUACAGUAAAUUUGAUAACAGAGUAAACUAAUGAUAUGCGAUUGAUAAUUUCUCAAAAUUCAAACAGCCCCACUAAAUAAUAAACAAGCGAGAUAAAAGUUGAAAUACAUCAUUAUCUCUAUAAAUAAAAAAAAUCGUAAAUCCCCAAUAUUAAAAGACGACAGCGUGUCAAGCUCUCAUGAAAAGAGCUGCGGGAUUCACAGUCCAGCUUUGAGUGCUUGACAUGUGGGCUGACAAUCUCCAUAAGGAGAGCGACUUCGCCUCCGAGAUUAAAAGUCGAUUUGCGACGCUUUCCUAGUUUUUAAUUUCGGUUUAAAGAUUUUAGAAAAGAAAUUGGGAACGGAGCAAAGAUAAGAGUUGUGAUUUUAUCAUUGUUUUAGUUAUUUUCAUUAGCGUAACUGCGGUUAACUAAUUUAAACUGAUUUUUGAUGUUGUAGAAAAUAACAAAGAUUGCCUUGAACAAAAAAAUAGAGCAGGACACAUUUCUAAAAUAUCUCUCACAAAAUGUUCACUCGGGAUUCUUUCCUGAGCAUCUGAUGAUGAUGAUGAUUGCUUUACCCGAAAAUGAAAAUUGAAUGGAAAUAUGUAUAUGUUAUUGGCAAUUAUGAUGCUUCCUAAUUGAUUAAAGGAUGAAAUCUAACAUUUCAAAGAUACAAAUAAUGUGGCAAUCUCAAGCCAAUCAAGUUCCCGUAAUGUGGGCUUUCUUUUAUUAUUAUUAUUUGAGUUUCCAGUUAGCUACACAAUAAAGUGUUAAAAAUCUAAUAACGAACUUGUACGCUGGGGCAGUUGCUCUAACGGAACAUUGGAAUCUUCCCGCUAAAAGUAACUACCAAGAAACUGAUACAAAUGAACCACAGCCAAACGUCCAUCUCUCAUUGGAUCAACACCUCUAUAAAGCACCGACCUCCAGUCACAACUGACUCCUCCUCCAAGAAUCUCAUAAAAAAAUUUCCAGCCAUUUCCAAGCAUUGUGAAGGCAACUGAGGUUGCGGCAGAGGCCAGAGAUUAUUGUUGAAUCCAGAAACAAGGAGGGCAACAGCAAGAAAGCAGAAGUUGGUUUCUGAAGAUGAUACAAGAAUUAAUUUUGCUAGUGGCAUUUGCAUUGUUUCUUGGUCGAGUAAUUACAGAUGUUUAUAGAACAAUAAUAAACCAAUUCAGAAGAAGAAAAAGAGGGGGAGGAAGAGGAGGGAGAUAAGGAUGAGCAAUCUAAUUCAACCCUUCAUCCUCAAAAAAACCUUCGUUUUCUACUGGAGUCUUGCUAAGGUAUACACUUAAAAUCUCCUGUUCAAAAAACUUUCUUAGGUGAAAUACAGUUGAUGUGUUUGUUUGGUUGCCAAGAUUUUGUGGAAAGCAAAAUGAGCUAAUGAAGCUUUAUGUGUUAUUUUUUCAUGGGGUUUAGAAUUCUUUCUGAUAUAUAUGCUGCGAUCUUGUUUUGCUUUAUUAGCUAAUUUGGGUGUCAAUAAAUUAUGUUUUCAAAUUAUAUAAAACUUGAAUUUUCUUAAUAAUCUCACGGUCUUUGUUUCUUGGUAGGUUCUGGACUUCUAGUUCUAAUCUUGAUUUAGUUAUUCAUGAUUGUUUCAUUAAAAGGGGAGAUUUAUUGGUUCUUUGACUCAAUAGCUUUCAUUAACUUGUAUACAAUUGUUUGGAUAUAGAUUUGGUAUCUCUACUAGUAUUCUUCAUCUAUGCCAAUCUGAGGUGAUAUUCCUGUAGCAACUUCAUAAUGGAUAUUGUGCACUGAUUCAUGACGUGCCACCUUUCAUUAAUCUGGAUUCCUUAAACUGAUUUUAUUAUGCUUUCAUUGUGCAUCAGAAUCAGAUUAUGGAUUUUUCCUUAAUGGGGUUUCUUUAAUCAUGUCAAUGUAUUGCCGAUGUAUUCAAAGGACUAUAAUGAUGCUGAGCUCUCUGACUUUGGCUUGGGUAAAUUUUCUUCAUCUUUUUCCUUAUUAUUACUAUUCUUUCGUUUAUUUCCUUCCUAUUUUCCCUACCUUUGUUCCUUUUUUUACUCUUUGUUUCAAAGUGUCUGACUGGUGAUUUUCCAAAUGAUUGCUUAUCUGAAAAAUUGCAGACCUUUUACACUUGCUGGCUGGUCAUUUAUGCUUAAACAUUUCUUUUGAAAUAAUUCUAAAUAAGAUCUGUUGCCAGAAUAAACAAUUUAAACUUACAAAUAUGGAUAGUAUGAGCUUGAUGGUUAUAUUUAUUAUUAUAUCCCGUUGUAUUUGAUGAUGAGCUGAUUCAUAAAUGCAGUUAAUUUGAUCGAUAUAAUAGUAGUAAUCAGCUUUCAAAUAGGUGAAUGAGAUCAAUGAGGUCUAAUUUUCCAGAAAACUCAAGAGUUAUUUUCUGUUAACUUGAAUCUCAAGUCAUCAGUGAGAAAGUAUUAGUUAGAAUGACUCCUCUUUGUCAGAGCAAUUAUUGCUGACUACUGGCUUUACUUGAUGCAGCUAUUGCUACUGUUAUCUCAAUUUCUAUCAUUCUGAAAGGAAAUGGAUGGGUAAAUAAUAAAGGUAAACAAAUGGCCAUAGCCUUUGUACUUUUAUUAAACAUCCUCAAUUAUUCCUAAAUUACUUUUAAUUACAUGUUUCAGGAAAUGCUAGAGAGAAAGAGGUAUCUAUAGUAUAAAUAAAGGAGGACAGCGAACCAUUUGGGCUUAGCGCAAGUGGCUAGAGCCAUUCCCUCACAAGUGUGAGGGAAGUGGUUCGAGCCUCCGCAGACCCAUUGCAGGGGUUUAAUUUAAAUUUCCUUCCUUGGAGCCCCAGAGCUUGAGUGAAGGCAGUCUUUCUCCCAGAAUGGGAGUUGACAUCCCUCGAAUAUUUGAGAGGGUUAAAAUCUGAGCGGUGCCAUAUCAGAAUUGAUAUAAACGGGUCUCAGUAUAUAUAUGAUUGUAAAUAUCAUCAUGAGCAAUAGUUCUCAUUCAAAAAAAAAAAAAAAAAAAAAAAAGGAGGACAGCGAAGAUCACUUCAUUAAGAAAGCUGAGGUUAGAUUGCUUACAUUUUGUUGAGUUCUUGUUCAUUUUACUUGUUGCAAUUUUAGCUAAUCAAUUGCACUAUUAACAAUUUCAUCUUUCAUUGCUUCUUAGAUUCGAACUGUGUUGGGAAUGGCUGAGAAACUCAACAAGAUAACUGCUGCUGCUACAGCACCAAAGAAGUCUGCUGAUAAGGCGGCCUGAAGACAUAAGAGUUUCAUUUCUAUGGUACAAAGACGUAAUAAUUAUUGUCGAGACUUGAAAAAGAUUUCAGCAGAGAGAUGAUCGGAUGAAGAUUAUUAGAACGCUAUUUUCACUUACAGCUGCUGCUAGCAUGACCAUGCAACAGAGUUGGAGAAGAGACAGUUUGGUGGGAGCAGAUUCGAUUGUGUCUGGCACCAAUGUGUCUUCCUUUGUUCGCUUUAAAAUUCUGAAUGUCGUUUAGAUCAAACUUAUGCUACGGCUUUUCAUGUUAGAUAUAGGGGUAUUUCAUUUUCCAGCAGAGUAAUUGGAACAGACAUUCAAAGUAUCAUUUGUCUCUCUUGUGCUCUCUCUCUCUCUCUCUCUCUCUCUCUCUCACACACACACAAUGUUAGCAAAUUGACUGCGCCCUGAGAUCGGCUAGUCUUGCCGCCAUCAAUGAGUUUAUCUCUAGUUGCAAGUCGUGAUAAAAGCCAGAUGAAUUUGUUAGCACGAUAAUGAAUGAUUUAUAGCCUAUUUAAUUUCCCGUGAUCUUAAGUACUAUUGUCAUCGAACCAGUAGUUGAAGGUUUUAGAUGAGAAGAAAGGUGCUCUACCUCUUGUAACAUGGAAUGAACAUCAUGCCCAUUGGAGAUACCCUGCAAUGCAAGGAUGUGAGAGAUUUUAGGAGCAGUUUGCCGUUAAGAAAAAUAAUAAAGAGCAGUAAAUCUGUCUUCAUCAUUUUUAUUUACAUCAUAACAAAGUAUUGUGUGUAGUAAGGAUUGAAUGAUCCAAUGAAUCGAAAAGCAUAAGUAUUGAAUGAGCUAAUGCAUCGAAAAGCAUACAGAUAAGCAUCCAAUUCAUCUUUAUGUGCGAGUGUGUUGCUGUGUAGAUUUUACGUAGAGGCUAGGAAGUUGGAAGAAACAGCGGUACCGCUGGAUGGUUGAAAAUACCAUACUGACUGAAGAAAUGCAUAGGCACUUUUGUUGAAUGAGCAAUUUAAGGAAAAUAGUUUAUUUACAUUUUUUAAAAUAAUGAAGAAAUUGAUAAUUAUAACCCUAUAUCUCACCUACUGAUUUAAAUUCCAUUUUGUCCUUGUUUGUUAAUUAUAUUUUUCUUUUUACCAUGUUAAAAGAUAUUUCACUUUUAAAUUUCUUUUUACAAACAAAAAGCGGUCAAAUAAUUAGUAAAUAUGACUAUGUGAGACUUUGUUAAUUUCCUCACCAUCAGCUAUGAGUUUAACUAUACUUUGUAAAUUUAUCUUCGUCGAGACACGAAUGUGGGUGGUAAGACCAUUUUGUAAAACACCUGGACAAUCUUAUUUCAUUUACACGACUAAUCAACAUCCAAGCGUGAAAAAUACAUACAACAGUAAAAGGUAUUAAGGAUUCUCUAGAUUAAUUGUAUCCCAUUCAAAUUCAACAGAAUUAAAAUCCGUCCAAGUUCCUCCCAUACAAAGCGCUAUACGCUAUAUCCUCUAUUCUGUUUAUUGUCCGAAGUGCCCUUCCCGGAAAAAGGUCAGUGAACUCUAGGAAAGAGAAUUCCUCGGUACACAGCAAAGGGAGCGAAAAUAUUAUGGUGCAGAUGAUCAAGUCGACGAUAACGAGAGCGAUAGGUACAACUGCUGUGCCACGUAGCACUGAAUACGUGCCUAUACUAAAUGCAAACAUCAUCGCGAUCAAUGCAAAACGUAUAAAUGUUAGGCUCCGUCGCCAUAGUAAAAAUUCCGUCGACUUGUCCGCCGACCGUGACAGAUCAAGGUGGAGGAAGACGGCACCUGUGGACAGCAACAUGGCUACCGAAUUGAAUACAACAAAUGCUUGGAAAAUUUUGUCUCUAGUCAGAACUGCUGCCCCCUGGUCUGGACCCUUUUCAUUAAUGUAACCACCUGGCAUAUUUAUACCUGCGGUGAAUGUAACAGUUGCUAUAAGUACAGCUAUUACUAGAUGGGAAUCCUUUCUUUCCUUGACAUAUUCCCCUACGAUCUUGACUCUUGAUGAUUUCUCAUUUUUUCUAUCAUUGUUCUUCUUCUUGUCUUCUACAUUAUUAUUACCCUGAUCCUUUCUUUCCCCAUCUCCAAAGACCAUGUGUCGCCGGCACCUGUAUCUAUACAAGCACCGUAGAAACAAACUCUGCAACAACAUAUUGUACGUACGUUUUGCAAGAAUUAUGAACUGUAACAAGUAAGGAAGGUAGGGGACUGAAUAUAUUGUUAUUAUUUAAUUAAUAUUAUUAUUAAUUUCACCUAUUGGCUUGUGUCAGAACUUACCAAUAAUAUUAUUUAAUCGAGUUUAUCAAUUUAUGAAAUUAUUUCAUUAAUGCUAUUUUAAAUACUUCAUAGUCCGUGAGUAAAAAGGACACAAAAAUUUUAUAUAUAGCAAAUUAAGUUUUCUUACCUCCUCGAGCCGAUAAACAACCUUGCCAGAACGGAAUAUGUCUUCAGCGUUAUUGUUUUGAUGAUUGAAUGCUAGCCUAUCCACUUUCGGGUGAAGAAAGAAAGACCUUAUACAAUAAGAAGAACCAGAAGCAGCAUGUUCUAGCAGAGGUGUGUUCCCGUCAUCAUUUUUCUCGUUUAUAAGGUUUCGAAGCGAUGGGUUUUUUAAGAGUAAGUCGACUGCCCUUCUACUUUUGCUAUUCAGUACAAAGUGAAAAACAUUCCACCCUUUGUCAUCAACCAAUUCACAAGAACUUGGACAACUAAAUAUUAGCUCUUGCAUUGAAUCUAAAUUGCCCCUAUCAGCUGCGAGAUGAAGAGGUACCUUUCCCUUAUUAUCAGCUUUGUAGGCUGCGGAUUUAUCGGCCUUGAGUAAUUCCUUCACAUUGUAACGGCGUCCGAAGUGUGCGGCCAAGUGAAGAGGAAGGCAACCUUGCUGGUCUGGUUUGCUGGUUAGAGUCUCUUUACCGUUCAAUAACAUUUUUGUUAUUUCUACAUAAAAAUAAACAAACAAAAAUUAAACCCGACCCACUAGAAUACUACAUUAUUUUUUCUUUUUUAAUUUUUUUCAAAUGGAAAAGUCUUGGAUGUUCUGGAGCACUACUCUUUUUUCAUUAAUUUCUGUCACAUGUAUGCUUCAAAUAAUAUUACUAUUACUAAACCCGCAUUUCGUAAGUGGUGACAUUUGUAAACUACAAAUUCCUUGCUAAGAGAUGCCGGAGAACUUUUUUUUUCUUUAAAUAAUAAUUCUCUAUAUAACAAAAAAACUCCAAAAACCCAUUAGCAAAGCAGAAGCACCAAAGAGUUGUAAACUGACACUAAUACAACGGAGAGGCUUAUGCAAACAGUUAAUAAGCUUAUGUAUCUAAGCGAUCAUUAUGUAUUACAAUUAUUGGAUAGAAAAGAAAUUUAUAAUUAAUUAACCUGUAUCUUUUAGAGAUGCUGCUGCGUGCAAAGCCGUUCUUCCCAUUGGUCCAUGGUCAGCUGGUGAUAUACAAGUCGAUAAAAUAUCUACCACAACAUCUUUGUAACCCCUCUCUGCAGCCAGGUACAGUGGAGUCUCCCCAGCUUGGUUGGCAUCAUACGGUAAAUUAGGUUCUUUGGUCAACAUCUUCACCACAUCAACUUGAUUGUAACGCACCGCCUCGUGCAAGGCUGUGUCUUUGGCUUCAUUCGUCGUUCCCAGCAUCAGCCUCGCGGCUUCAACACCUUUCUCGGGGUCGUUCUGGUGGGGUUUUUUGCACUCGGCAAUCAGAUCCUUCACUAUAUCAGCAUGCCCGUGCCUGGCCGCGAUGUGCAGCAGAGUUUCCCCUUUGGUGUUGGCCUUCAGUAGUAACCAGGACACAUUUCUAAAAUAUCUCUCACAAAAUGUUCUGAUGAUGAUUAUUGCUUUUUAAAAGUACUCAUCAUCCACCAAAGGCUGCUUUUUAGCUUGUUAUUAGGCUUCAUUGUUUGAUUAGGUCGGGCUGUGAUGUGGAUAUGGAGGAUUGUGUUCUCGUUCGGAGUCAAUAUUCGGUCAAGCAUCUGUGCGUGUGCUCUGAAUUGAUCGGUAUGGCCUUCUACGGCAGCCUUGUAAAGAGAAUCCAUCAACUCGAAAUUCUUUUCUCGGACACUUGGUAGUCCUGCCCGGCGUGUCUCAGCAUUCUGGUUAUCAGAACCGGAAAGUGACGACGACAUUUUGCUGGUGAUGUGAUGUGUCCCCCAAAUAGAAAUGGGAAGGAAGUGUUUGUGAAAGAUAGGAUUUUCUUUUCUUUUUUCUUUUUCCAAAAUGGAGAUGGCUAUUGGCUACGGUGCUGCUAAGUGCGCUUAUCAAUUUAUAGAUAAAAAUGGGUUACAUGCACGUACGAGUCCGGUCCUACAGGGGAAUUCAUCGUCAUCCGCUAAAUUAAAGAUUAGGCUCCCGUCCUUCAGGGGAAUUCAUCGUGUCCGCUAAAUUAAAGAUUAGGCUAUCCUAAUCACUGUUCUCUGAAGACCUGCGAAAUGUAUAGGCACUUUCCUGUUUUCUGAAGACCUGCAGAUUAAUAUGACCGAACAAAUGCAUAGGCACUUUCGUUGAAAGAGCAAUUAAAGGAAAAUUCAUCCUCGUCCAGUAAAUUAAAGAUUAUGUUAUACUAAUCAGCUGUUUUCUAAAGUCUGUUCUGCCAUUUUAUAAGCAAAAUAAUUUAUUUAUCCUUUUUUGCCCUUUUUAAUUAACUCGCGUAUUUAUUGAAGUUCGAAAUUCAAGGUAUAACAAAGUUCAUUUCUUGUCAAUUGAGAUGGACCUUGACUUCAAGAGCAUGUCCACAAUAAAAUUACUUCAUUAAUUUUUUUAAUUAAUUAACACCCUUAACCAGGGGCAUAUCUAAAAAUUAAUUCACACGGGGCAACAUCAUAAUAAAAAAAUAAUUUAUAAAAUUGAAACCAAUAUUAAAAUUUAUUUAUAAAAUUACCCCCACCCAAAGAUAAGUUCCCAAAAAUUAAUAGUCUUCCCAAAAAUUAAUAGGAAAUUUAUUUUUGAGUGGACCAUUAGCCCCACACCCUUGAUCCGCUCCUACACUUAUUUCCUUACCACACUUGAAUUCCAAAUCAAAUGAUUUGUCAAACUAAAGUUACUUGAAAAUAAUUCGGUCACGCUUCAUUACUCAAAAGUAACUUCAUUAGUUAAGAAUAUUGCUUAUACCUAAAGUGUGUGGUUAAUGAUAUGCAGGAUUCAAUAAAUGAUUCUGGUUCUUACUAUUUUUUUUAGGAUUAUUAUCAUUUAAUUACUUUAGAUCAUAAAAUAUCAAAUGAUUAUAAGAAGUGUUGGUGUCUAUUAUUUUAUUACAAUAUCUUUUGUAAAAUCUUUUAUUUUAUUAUAUUUUUAUUUUCUACUAUUAGUUGACCAAUAAUUGACUAACAAAAUAUUAAUAUGCCCUUACUUUAAAAAAUUAAUUAAAUAAAAAAAUGAGAAAACAAAAAUAAAGAAUCAAACUCAACUGAAGAAUGCGUGCCUUCACUUCCAAAACUUCUUAUGCUCCAAUUGGGGAAAAGAAGGAAAAAAAAAAAACUGCUUGUGAUUAAGCAUCCGUCUUGUGUGCUAAAUUGCUAAUCUUGCUCUCAUCAAGAUAUCAAAUUGAAGCCGCCACUAAAACUUGAAGAUAGCAAAUUGAAACUGCCAUUAAAGCUUGAAGAUCAAUAUGCUUUCUGUCAAUCUUAAUUUCUAUUUCGUCACAAUCCUUCAAACUCAUAAUAAUAAAUCCAUCAUUCCAUAACCAAAUCAAACUCAGCAACUGGAAAAAAAAAAAUCUCAAAGAAAUAUUAUAUAAAAUCCACUUUCAAAUAUAUCACGUAUCGCUGAGAUAAGUUAUAAAAACAUAAUAAAUUUUCCUCACCCACGGCUGCCAUCAAAAUCCCUCCAAUUCUUCUUUUAGACGACACCCAUCAAUGCCAAUGCAUGGCCUGUACCCAUUCAAAAAUGCCAAUAAUUUUUCAAAGAUGGUGGAUCACUAUCUGAGGUAAAAAGUGAAGAAGAAGAAGAAAAUGAUGACGUUAGAUAUUCGGGAUUCAAGAAUUUUUUUUUCUUUCAUUUGUUUUUAACGAUAAUGAGUACACUGCCCUUGCCAUUUAAAAUUAUAAUACAACUUAUCUUAGUUUUGAAUGUAAAGAUACUUUUAGAGCAUGACAUCAGUUUUCAACUCAUGACAAAAAUAAACUAAAAUAAAUUUUUUUGAAAGAUACAAAAAUAAAAUGAUAAGCACAAAUACUUACAAUUAUUUCAUAUUUUAUAAUUUUAAAUGUUGUGCAACUAUAAUAAUACUUUUUCUUAAUAUCUUAAAAAGCUUAAUCGAUUUUCAAUCUUUAUUUUUUUUUUAAAUUUAAAUUAUGAUAACUAGUUAAAUAAACUAUUUGAAAAUCAUACGAAUAGGGCCAAUAGGCUAAGGCCAUUCCUUUCACGCGCUCGAGAAAAUUGUAUCCUUUUUUUUAUUAAUAUUGUUAUACAGAACUGUUACUGAUAUUACAUCAUAUAUUACCAAUAAUAUUUACAAACAGAUUAUACAACUGGGACCUUCUUCGUGACAUGUACUCUUCUGAAACGCUGUCCAGAUUCUUUAAACCAUCUCUAAUAUUCGAGAGCUAUUCAUUUCACUCACAUUUUGUGAGGGGCAGACUGGCUCUACUCAAUUAUUUGAUAAUUGAGAGAGUAUUGAAAUUAACCCCUAUAAUGCUUUUAUGGAGGCUCGAACCUUUGCACUCAACAUUGUAAUUGCAAAAAUUCUCCCACUGGGCUAAAGGCCCAUUGAUAAAAUUAUACCCUUUUUGCAUGCUCUGAAAAGCAACUGGGAAGAUACAUUGGUAUUAGCUAGUAGAGUCUUCACCUAACAUACAUACCCAAACAACAACUAAGAAAGGCUACGGAUAGUGAACGGAAGACGUUGAAGAGUGUAGUGUAAAAGAUGGAAAAUUUUCCUCAUUCAUAGCCGCUCGUCAGGUAAACUAGUCAGUUUUUUUUUUUGGUUGUUUUUGUUUUUAUCUUGCAGGGUCUUGGAAUAGAGAAUGAUUCACUUACAUAUGAUGGAGAAAUUGAUAAGCGCUUUCCUAGGAUAGAGAAAAUUAAGGAAGUUUCACAAUCAAAUGGUUUGGUUAAUAUCCUAACCCUAUGACAUGAUCAUUUUUAUUAAGAAUCCAUAAGCACUUUCGUUGGAAAAUGUAUGGUUUCGAGUCUUGCUACGGUGCGUCAGUUGCACUGUGCAGCCAUAACAAUUUUUUCAUUGUCCGUCGUUACAUGCAACAAGGUUCCUAUCAUGUGUGUGUUGUGUAUAUAUAAAUUGAAUAUACAUCAAAAAGAUCAUUACCAAGUACGAACUAAUUAUUAAUGUUUGUUAUGGUGUGGUGCAGCUGAUAUCUUAUAGUUUCACAUUAUAUGUUUAGAUCAAUAUCGCUAACCUUAUAAGUUUUUAUCUUAAAUUUCAUUCUACAUGAUAUAUCAUUCAUUAGGUGGUUGAUAUUUUUUUACAAAUAUCAAGUGAAUUAGUUGUAUUAUUUCAUAAUCUACUUUGAUGAAUACCACAUAAUUUAAGAUAAAAUUUUAAGAAGUCUAACACUACUUUUAAUUUAAUUAAAAAAAAUUUACAUCCACUUGUAAGAGUUUGUUAAUAGUUAAUAUUACAAAUCACCUUGAAAUGCAUACAAUAAAAUUAAUUUUAGGAUAAAAUUUUAAGAUUUGUAACUAGCACUACUUCUGAAAGUAUAGGUAGAAGGAAAAUAAAAAAUAUUAUAGUUAAUGAGAAUUAAAAAAGUAGGCCACGUGGCAAACAUAUAAAAGUAGUUUGUAUACAAUGUAAUUUGUACAUGGUAAUUAAGGUAUAGGCAAACUUAUGCACAACCUUGAUUUCCUCUAGUCCAUAAAUUGAAAAUAACCAAUUCAUCUAAAGCUGUUGGGUUUUUAUGGGCAUAUUUCCAUUUUUCUGUCUUCAAGAUCACUUAUGCUGUUGCUCUUUUAGACAUGUGAUGUUUAAUUUUACAUAAGAUGAACAAAUUUAUAAAGCUCUCUCUCUCACACUCCUCCUCGUCCACCAUACACUCACAAGCAUAUAUAUAUGCAGUACACAUAUAGCUUAUGCAAAUAGACUGCACCCUCAGAUAAGCUAAUAUUGCAAGCAUCACCGUUUGAAUUGUACUUUCGACCACGUGUUCAACAACCACCACCGAAAUAAGAGGGGAGCGGGGGCAAGGGUGGUUUCAAAUGUUAAUCUAAUUCAUUGAGGAAAAUUAUAAAGUUAGUGAUUAUGCUACUAGUUCUUUACAAAAAACAAAAUGUCAUGGAAGAUUGCCAGCGAGUGUUGGAUUUAUCAUCUGUUUGUCAACAAUUAUCACUACAUCUGAGAAAAUUCUGCUCUAAGAUAAAAUAAAGGUGAUAUUUCAUCAUUAUUAUCCCUCGUCAAGAGAAAUAUGAGAUAUUCAACAUGACUAUAAGAAUCUACAGUCCCAUGUUCAACAAGACUAUUUGAAUUUACAGUCUCGUAUUCAACAAGACUUUCUGAAUCUACAGUCUCAUAUCUAAAUAACUCAUAAGUCAACAAUCAAAGUUGGAGUUUUAUAUCAAGUUAUUUACUAAAAUAAGCAUAAAGUAACUCCGACUGCACAUAGGGUGAAAGAAAGAAGAAUGUAUGACCCUGAAUGAAAUAUUGAGUAGUUGGUUGAUUAAAAUUAAAUGCAGUGAUCAUUUUAGGGACAAGUUGGCAAGUGUCAAUGCUAAUACAUUUACCUAUUUUCUAUGUCUUCGCCAGAGGCAUAUCCCUCAGGCUUGUCGCUAUAACCAGCAAAAUCGGAUGUAUGAAAAUAUGUGUUUAGCUUGGUUCUACAUUUUAAUUUCCUCAUAAAGUAAGAAGAUGUUAGAUAGAUUACAAAUGUUAGAGGUUCUCUUUUUGGCAAAUUGCAGUCCACUGUUGAGUUGAAACCAUUCAUGAGUGGGUACGCACCCUACUACUUGUACAUGCUUACAUUUUCUAAUUCAUGUCAUGGGAUUUUAGUGCGUUUCCGCACAAGAUUUGUUCCAUUUGCACACAAUUUAGAAAGAAAAAAGAGCACCAUCCCAAAGCAAAUGUUUUUUGUGGGAACCAAGAUGCUACCUAUAUUUAUUUGAUGAAAUCCAACUAGGUAAUCAAUUUCACUAUUAACAAUUUCAUCUUUCACUGCUUUUUAUUUUCGAACUGCGAUGAGAAUGGAUGAGAACAAGAUCAUUAUUGUCGCUACAGCACCAAAGAAGGCUGCUUAUAAGGCGGCUUAAAGACGUAAGAGCUUCAUUUCUAUAGUCCAAAAAUGUAAAAAUUAUCUUCCAGACUUUAAGAAGAUUUCAGUAGAGAGAUGAUCGGAUGAAGAUUAUUAGAAUGCUAGCUACUUCCACUUAGAGCUGCUGCUAGCAUGACCAUGCAACAGAGUUAGAAAAGAGACAUCUUGGUGGGAGCAGAUCCGGUUGUGUCUGGCACCAAUGUAUCAUUCUUUGUUCACUUCAAAACUAUGAAUGUUGUUUAUAUCAAACUUAUGCUACUGUUUUUCAAGAUAGAUAUAGGGGUAUUUCAUUUUCCAGGAGAGUAAGAGGAACAGACAUACAAAGUAUCAUUUGUCUCUCUUGUGCUCUCUCUCUCUCUCUCUCUCUCUCCCUCCCUCUCUCACACACACACAAAAAAAUACAUGCAUAUACAUAUGCAGCCCACACAAAGUUAGCAAAUUGACUGCACCCUGAGAUUGGCUAGUCUUGCUGACAUCAAUGCUUGAGUUCAUUUCUUGUUGCAAGUCGUGAUAUAAAUCAGAUGAAUUUGUUAGCAUGAUAAUGAAUGAUUUAUAACCUAUUUAAUUUUUUGUAAUCUUAAGUACUAUUGUAAUCGAAACAGUGGUUGAAGACAAGCUAGUUGGUCAUUGAAGCUCAUAUUUUCUAAGUAAUGUGAAAGGUUCUCAAUAUGCUGUAGAACAUGUGCACGUAACGUCAUAAUCCACAACGUUAAAGGAGUACCAUCACCGAAUCAAAUGGUUUCGAUGGCAACGGAGAUGCUUCCUCAAUUUUUUUUAGUGAAUGAAAUCUAAAUUGUUAUUUUCAAAUGCCAUUCUGAAAACGUCAACAUAAUAAUUAGAGAUGAAGGUUUUGGAUGGCUAGAUGCAGAGAAGAGAAGAAAGGUGCUCUACGUUUUGUAGCAUGGAAUGAAUAUCAUGCCCAUGGCUGAUUGAGAUACCCCGCAAUGCAAAGAUUUAAAAAUAUAUUAAUAGAAUUUAGUUGCAGUUUACCGCUAAGAAAAAUACUAAGAGCAGUAAAUUUGUCUUCAUCGUUUAAAACUUGCAUCAUAAGAAAGCAUUGUGUGUUGUAAGGAUAGAAUAAGCUAAUGCAUCAAAAAACAUAUAGAUAAGCAUCCAAUUCAUCUUUAUUUGCAAGUGUGUUGCAUUGCUGUGUAGCUUUCGUGUAGAGGCUAGGGAGUUGAAAGAAACAGAGUGGAGGAAAAGAUUUUGCGUUUGGGUAUGACUUAGUCAAUCUUGGGAGCUGUAACUACUUUACUCGGAAGCAAUUUAUUACAGUAGAAAAGAAUCUUCCCCGAAUAUCACAUAUGUAAUAUAAGAAAAUUUAAUAAUAAUAAUAAAAGGAGGCAUUUUAUUUUUAUCAUUCCAUGUUGAGAGGAUUAGAGGAACUUGGGAAAAAUUUCCAAUUUAACUUAUACAAGACAUUUACUAUUACACAUCAUUUAAAUAUACACAACACUCGAAUAUGCGAAAGGAUCUGUAUAUAUCAAGAUAUUUUACGAAAUAUAUGCAUGCAGUUGAGUUCAUGCAUUGGCAGACGAAAGAAAAAUGUACAACCUUCAUGAGAAAGGGCUAGACCGUCGGCUAGUAAACAUAAAUUGAGUACAAACGAUGAUCAACACACCUGAGAAGUACCGAUAGAUGAAGAAGAACAAGCCAGGGAUAAUGAAAACCAUAACUACUAGCGCUUUGGCCUUUGGCAUUAUAUAGCACUAAAUAUGUGCCUGUAAGAAAUGCUAACACCAAAUUAACAAGCAAUAAAGUAUUAGUCCUAGGCUCAGUUGCCAUUGUCAAUGCUCCAUACUCUUCGUCUCCAACCUUGACAAGUAAGUAAGGUGGAUGAACACGGCACUUGUGGACAAAGUCAUGGCUAUCAAAUUGAGCGUAAUAAAUGCUAGCCUGUAAAGCAUUGCUUGACGCUUCUAGUUAGAACUGCGGCACCCCUAGUCUGGACUCUGGACUCUAGACCCAUUUCAUUAUUGUAACCAGCAGGCAUAGUAAUACUUGUGGUAAAAGUAACAGUUGCUACAAGUGCAACAAUUUCUAUACAGGAAUCCUUUGCUUCCUCGACAUGUCGCUCUAAGAUAUUGUCUAACUUUUCUUCUCUAUUGUUCCUCUGCUUCUUCUCUUUUGUAUUAUUAUUACCUUGAUCAAUUCUUUCCCAUCUCCACGGACUACAUGUCGCCGGCACGAGAUCCAAUUUAGUCUAAUCAAGCACCAUGGAAAAAAUCCCAACUACAACAAUAUACAUAUGUGGUACAUUUUGAGAGAAUUAUAAACAUUAACACUUAAUUAAUUUCCUAAAAUUUGGGAAUAUUUGAACUUGUAAUAGGUUAUGACAAUCAAACCAUGGUAUGAAAUAAGAAAUCCACAUUUUUUAUAUGGUUAAUACUUUUUUCCACAAAUUUCUUCGGGUUUGCUUAUGGCAAAACAAAAAAAAGGCUGAAGAUGAAGGGGAGGACUUAUAGAAAUUCAGACUAUAUAAAUUCUCACACAUAGAACAACCCCCAACGUACAAAAUAUACACAACAGUAAAAGGUAUAAAUAAUUCUCUGAAUUAAUUAAUUGUAUCAUAUUCAAAUUUAAGAGCAUAAAGCCUAAAGCGUUGUAUCCUCUGUUCUGUUGUUGUACCCAAUAAAGGGCUCAAUAUCCUUUGUUCUGUUGUUGUACACAACAAAGGGCUCUUCCCCGAAAAAGCCAAUGAACUCUAGGAAAGCAAAUUCCUUGGAUCUCCUCUAAAAAAUUCAUUAACAUCUCGUCACAAUGUUUUCACCAGUCUUUUUAAACAAUAAAAAGGUCCAAAUAAAUUGUAAAUCAAGAAGAAGCAACUUUGGCGAUAUUCAAUACUAAAUAUGUGCCUGUUAAAAAUGUCAACACCAUUGUAACACGGUAAAAAUUAUCAUUACUUGGCUUAGUUUCUAUAGUAAAAAUUUCAUACUCUUGUUUCGCAACCGUGAUAUAUAAAUGUGGAUGAAGAUGGCACCUGUGGACAAAAUCAUGGCUACCGAAUUAAAUAUAACAAAUGCUUAGAAACCUCUGCUUUUGAUUAGAACUGUGGUACCCUAGUUUGGACCAUUGCCACCAUUUUUGUUGCUACAAACAGAUGCUCAGCAAAGAAGAGAUGGAAAUGGAAUCUUCCCAUAUCCAGGCUUGACAAAACACUCAUCAAUUUCAUCAGUUCAAAAACUUUAUUUUUUAUACUAAUUAGAUUGAGUAGAAGAACAGCAAAGACACUUCCCCCAAGUUGGUGCAAUAUGCUCUAAUCACUAAUCAUUUCAUCACUAAUCCUUUUGUUUAAAUAAAGUGAUUUAUCUGUAUUCUCUAGCUCUUCUUUCUUAUCAAAUCAAAUUAAAAUUAGAAAAAAAACAAGUGUGAAAAUUCAAACACAUUACUUUUGAAUAGAGAUGGCAAUUGGUUAGCUCAAGCUUGGACUUGGCUAAACCAAAGUCUGGCCUUAUUAUUAAAAUUGAAAGACUAACUUGAAAAAAGUCUAACAAUUUGUAUUUUGCAUCGAGUAGGUUGGGCCCAACCCAAAUCAGGCUAGAGGCAGGUCAAGCUUUUCUAAAGCCCGCACAAUGUUUUCUCUCUCACUUUAAAUAUUUUGCUUUAUUUUGUCUGAUUUUGCUUUACUUUGUCCAAUUUUGCUUUGUUGGUCAAUAAUGCAAAACCAAUUUGCUUUGUUCUAGGAUCAUUAUAUGUUCAUAAUUUUUCAUUAAAAAAAAAACCAAUGUCUUAUCCAAAUAAAAACAUACAAUUCCACAACUGAACAUUAAAACAAAAUCCAUAAUUUUUCUCAUUUGCAUUGCACCCAAAAUUACUCUUUUAUAUAUGCAUGCAAAUAUAUAUAUCUUCCAUAAAACUAAAAAUUCAUAAUUUUUCUUUUUUUUUUUCAAUUUAGGGUGGGAUCGUCAACCCGACCCUAACCUAAAUUUUGAUUGGGCUUUAUUUUUUGGCCCAAGCCCGUCUUGAAUCUUGAAAAUUCGGGCCAAAAAUCUAAAAAAUAUAAGUCGAGUCAAUCGAGCUAAAAUUUGGUUUGAGUCAAAUUGUCAUCCCUACUUUUAAACAUGAAUAGAGCUACAUAGUUUCAAGGAAAAGGCACAGGUGGUCAUGAACAACCUUAAAAUUUUUGUUGCUACCCAUAACUACCCACACAUUCAGGAUAAGCUUUAAGACCAAGAAAUGUUCCUAACAUGGACUUGACUGCUAAAGUUCUUAUCACAAACCAAAUUCUAUUGUCUAUUGUAUAGACAUCAAACAAUUCGCAGGAUUAAUGUGGAUUUCUAUCUGCUAUCAUCUCUUCUUUCUCAUCAAGUCUAAUUAAAAUUAGAAAAAACAAGCAUGAAAGUUUAAACAUAUUACUUUUGAAUAUAGACACAGCUAAAUGGUUUCAAGAAAAAUGCAUUGGUAGUCAUGAACAACCUUAAAAUUCUUUUAGCUACCUAUAGCUACCCCCACAUUCAAAAUAAGGUUUAAGACCAAAAAAUGUUUCUAGCAUAGACUUACAUGCUAAAGUUCUUAUUAGAAACCAAUUUCUAUUGUCAAUAUAUCAAAGAAUUCCAAUUAUUAAUAUGGAUUUCCACAUUGACAGAGUAACACAGUUUCAAAGAAAAUGCACCAACAGUCAUGAACAACCUCAAAAUUCUUUCUACCGCCCAUAGUUACAUAGACAUUUAAGAUAAGCUUUAAGACCAAGAAAUGUUCCCAAAAUAAAAUUACUUGCUAAAGUUCUAAUCACAAACUAACUUCUAUUGUCUACAUAUCAAACAAUUCAUGGAAUUGAAGAAAACCAAGAUCGAAGAUUUUGAAUCCUCAGCUCAGCAUCUUGUCACCGGCUGCUCGAAUUUUCUAAUAAAGGAGGCUAAAUUGGUGACUCUAGGUGCACUAAAAGGCAAGUCAAAAUGCACUAAGUAACAGCUUGCCUAAAUUUUCAAGUAUGUCAACCCAAAUUCAAGCCAAGUGUGCUAGCUUGGCCCAAUUAUAGAAUGUUCUAAUAUAAUUUAGCACAUACUUGUACAUGUCUAGAACUUUUUAUACUUGUAAAUAUCUAGAUAUAUUGAUAAAAUGUGCAAGUUGUAUGGAAUUAUCUAAAACUUGUGAAACCUUCCUACAAAUAAGGUAUGACACUUACUAUUUUACACAUACAACACACUAAGCAACUCAAGUAUACUUGUGAGUUCUCAAGCUCUCUUAUACUUUUUCUUUUGAGUAAAAAAAAAUUUUUUUGGCUACAUUGCUCUCUCUUCUCUAUAACUUUUGUAAUCAUCUUUACUUACCUAGUUUGAUAAAUUCGAUAGGUUUACUUAGUAACUUUUAUGCUAGAAGUUGUCUAAGUAUUAUACCGAUUGCUGCAAAACAUACUCAUCUCGUGAUAAUGUACCUCCAUUUUAGACAAUAUCUUAUGCUCCACUUACUCAAUCGGGAUUUUAUUAGAUCUUAAAAUAGAACGAACAAAAAUUGAAUACUCACCGACCACACCUUCUAGCCAUUAAAAAUCUAUACUAGACAAGACAUAUUUGUUUAGAGUGAACCAUGUGGAAGACACAAGUACGAGAACCAUCGGCAUCAAAGGGCUUGCCAGGCUUAGUGUCGAGAAAUGCAUAACCUCUAAUCUGACACUUCUUGCGCUAACAAUUAACAAUUCAUGAUUAACAAAUCAAGAUCAGUAAAUAGUAAACAGAACAACAAAUUUUCAAUAAGUCUACAUGAUCACAAUAGAAAAGUAAACUCCAAACAACUCUGAACAAAUGAGCAAAUUUUCAAUAGUCUGUCCAAAUUUUCAAGUAUGUGAACCCAAAUCAAAGCCAAGUGUGCUAGUUUGGCCUGAUUCUAGAAUUUUUUUAUAUAAUUUAGCACAUCUCAUCAACUUGUACAUGUCUAGAAUUUUUUACACUUGAAAAUAUCUAGAUAUGUUGAUAAGUUGUGCAAGUUGCAUGAAAUUAUCUAAAAUUUGUGAAGCCUUCUUAUAAAUAAGGCAUGACACUUACUAUUUUACACAUACAACACACUAAGCAACUCAAGUAUACUUGUAAGUUCUCAAGCUCACUUGUACUUUUUCUUUUGGGUAGUAAAAUUCGUUUUGGCUAGAUUUCUCUCUACUCUAAUGCUCUUUUGUAAUCAUCUUUACUUACCUGAUUUGAGAAAUUUGAUAGGUUUACUUAGUACUUUUUAUGCUAGAAAUUGUCUAAGUGUUGUACCGAUUGUUCCACAACAUACUCAUCCCGUGAUAACUUGCCUCCAUUUUAAACCAUAUCUCAUGCUCCGCUUAGUCAAUAGGGAUUUUAUUAAAUCCCAAAAUGGAACAAACAAAUAUUAAAUAUUCACCGACCACACUUUCCAGCCAUUGGAAAAUUUAUAGUAGACGUGAUGUAUUUGUUUAGAGUGAACCAUGUGGAAGACACAAGUACGAGAACCAUUGGCAUCAAAGGGCUGGCCAGGCUUAGUGUCGGGAAAUGCAUAACCUCCGAUCUGACACUUCUCGCGCCAACAAUUAACAAUUCAUGAUUAACAAAUCAAGAUCAGUAAAUAGUAAACAAAACAACAAAUUUUCAAUAAGUCUACAUGAUCACAAUAGAAAAGUAAACUCCAAACAACUCUGAACAAAUGAGCAAAUAACUUAAAAGACUACAUACAUACAAAGAAUUAAGGUAGAACCUAGCUUGCCAAUUAGUUACGAAUACUAGCUUUUAUGUUAUUUAUAAUUGACCAAAAUGAAAUAACUCAAAUUUGAAUAAGUUUAUAUGGAAAUAUUUGGGAACGGGUAUUAGCAUCAUGUUUAAAUGAGAAUAUGUCUUUCACUAAGUCUAGAUUCAGCAAACCAUUUGAAUAUAUUUGCAAAAUAAUAAUAAUAAACGUAGAAGUUAGAUAUGAAAUUAAUAAUAUGCAGAGAACUUGGUCCUAUAUAUGUAGCUUUAGACUAUAAGAUAAAAAAGGAAAGUUCGUCAAACUAACUAGAAAUUUAGACAAUAAUAGAUCAAAAUUGAGCCUUAAAUUGAUAUGAACCUGAAGACAAAAUACAAUUUUAUUAAUAAAAGUUAUCAAAAUCAUUUUCACAUCUAUCAAUCAACAACAUGCCAUCGUUGACGCAAAUAUCGGUGUAAUCCUCAUGAAGUCGUAUUUAGGGCAACCAAACUAGAUAAUAAUAAUAAAAAGCAAAUAAAUAGUCUAAUAAUAAUAAUAUAAAACAAAAAUACAUAAAAUUAAGAACAUACCGGAAUUUGAUGCUUCGUGUCUUUUGAUUAGGCAUCACCUAUUGGUUGAAUGCGAUGUAACUCAACGAGAAUACCCCAGAUGUAGAGGGCACUCUUGGUUGUUUCUAGCAACUAUGAGUCUCUGAUAGAAUUUGUAGUAUAGAGUGUUUAAGAAAUGAGAAAGUGAAAGAAAACAUAGAGAAUUUAGAGAAGUUUGCUGUGUAAUCUGGAAAAAUUAAAACCAACUAUUUAGACUAUAAGUAUAUGUAUACAUGUAUUGGAUAGCUAUCUAAAGUGUUACAAUUGUAAAGUAUGUAAAGUUAAAUCUAACUAAUUACCAAGUAGGUUGUAAUCAACUGUGUGCUUAUCACAUUCACUAACAUCCUAUUAAGAAUGUUAACUGUCCGAUCUUCACUCGAAAUAAAAGAAAUAACAAUUUGUUUAGCAACUACUUUCUCUAAAUAAAUCGUAUACCAAUCUCUACAUGCUUUACAGUUUUCAAUUUAGUGUCGCCUACUGGUUAAAUGUUAUGUAACCCAACGAGAAUAUCCUAAAUGUAUAGGGUAGUCUUGGCCAUUUUUUGCAAAUUUGAGUCUCAAAUUAAGAGUGUAAGUGAGUGAAACUGUCAAAUUGAGUGAUAAGAAGCUAAAAAUAUAAAGAAAAGCUUAGAGUCAUGUGGUUUGAAGGAUACCCUUAAUUUUAUAUUUAUUUUAUUCCGCCAAAAAUUUUAAAUGCCUAGAGUUUUGGUUUUUAGAGUUUUUGGCAUCCUCUUAUGGGCCUUUAAAUAUUUUAAAUUUAGGCUAAGGGUAUUUAAUGCUUCCUAGUCCAAAGCCCCUUCCAGCACUUAAGUUUUGCCCAACCUAAAGCACAUUAUGAAAUCUUGACUAAUUUUUAUUAGCACUGGAUUCACACAAUUAUCCUUCUUAUAAUUUAAAAAGAACUACUUGUAUUUUAAAUAUUCUAUUAUUUUUUAUUAAAUUUAAAAUUUUAAGUUUCUGUAUAUUUUCUAAAAUACUUUAACUUAAACCAUCUAACUUAGUUUACUCAAAACAUUAAAAAAAAUAUUUAGCUCAAAUCACAAAUAAAUUUGAAAUCUGGCAUAUGCUUAAGUAAAAUGAAAACAGGUCAAAUCGUAUACAAAGUUUUUAACAACAUUUUGGUGGUGGUUGUUGUUGUUGUUGUUGUUGUUGUUAUUAUUAUAUAUAGUAGUUUUCUGGUCAUGAAUUUUAAAGUGCGGGAAAGUCAUGGCAAGCUUUAAAAUCACACGGCUUUAAAGGUUUUUUGUGGUUUUAAAGGUUUCCCGCACUUUCUCGUACUUUAAAAUUCAUAACUGAAACAUUUCUCUCUCUCUCUCUCUCUCUCUCUCUCUCUCUCUCUCUCUCUCUCUCUCUAUAUAUAUAUAUAUAUAUAUAUAUAUAUAUAUAUAUAUAUAUAUUCAUUCCAAAUUCUUUAAUAUCAAGAAUUAUACAUUUUUCUUUGCCAUCCGGUUGUAAUAAAAAAAAAUGGCCAUCUCACAGAAGAAGAAGCAGAAGACUACGUUAGAAGAUGCUACCACUAGAUAUGCUCUAGUUGAUUUGGCUUCAACUUUAGCAAUACUUUGAUUUAAUUUUAUUUUUUGAAACAUAAAAGGUCUAACAUAUUUUGUAGUUUAAAUAUUUUAAAAUAUUAUUUAUUAAACAUCUAAAGCUUGAAUUUUUAUUAAUUUUAAAUUUUAAAACAUUUACUUGUUUACUUUUUGUAACUUAUGUUUAAUUUUCAUAUACUUACAUUUGAAUUAAAAAUAAAGUAAACUUUGUGACUUUUAUCUAAAUAAGAAGUAGAUGUUAUAUUAAAAAAAUAACUUUAUUAAAUAUACUUAUUUCAUAAAUUAUAAAAACCUAUUUUUUUAUUUAUAGGACAUAAAUAUCAAAUAACUAUAUUUAACAUAUUUAAGAUGUAAAAAAUAGAAUUAUAAGUUAAAUAAAAAGUGUGCUAUAUGAGUGCUAAAAAUAAUUAUUUAAUAUUAACUUAAAAAAAAUUAUCCUUAAUAGUAAUUUAAAUUAUGAAUAUUUUUGUAAUAAAUUAUUUUGUUAAAAUAAUAGUAUUUAAAGCAAUUAUUAAAAUACAAAUAUUCCCACUAAUAAGAAAUAAACAAAAUUUAAAGUAAUUAUUAAAAUACAAAUAGGCCCACUGAUAAAAAAUAAACAAAAGAGAUAAAAGCUAAAAUAUAUCAUUAUCUCUAAAAAAGAAAAAAAAAACAAAUCCUAAAUCCCCAUUGUCAAAAGAUGAAAUAUAUCAUUAUCUCUAAAAAAGAAAAAAAAAAAAAACAAAUCCUAAAUCCCCAUUGUCAAAAGAUGGGAGCGUGUCAUGCUCUCAUGAGAAGAGCGGUGAGGUUCUUGGCAUGUGGGCUGUCACUCUCCAUAAGAAGAGCGACUACGCCUGCAAGAUCAAAACUCAUCAAAAGACUUACAUCUUCUUCCUUCCUCACUGAUUUGAAGUAGGUUAGGAUAUUAUUUUUUGAAUUAAUAAUGUUAUAUGAAUUUGAUUGAUAAUGCAUUGUGCAAUAUUUGAAAUUAAUAAGACAAAAGGUUGUUUAUGACUUAAGUUGAUUAAUUGGAGUUAACAAUAAGCUAUUAGUUGCAUUUUUUAUGGAUAUUCUUAUGAACCAAACAAAAAGUUUGAUGAUUUAUACAGCAAACAAUUUCCGGUAUAUAUAUUGCUCAAGUGGAAUUCUAAAAUAGCAUUUAAUUUUUAAGAUGCUAACCCACUCAAACAGGAAAAGUACUCGAAAAAAAUAAACGUUGUUCAUGUAAUUGUGCUCGUGCUCUUGACUGAUUUUACCUUCCAAUGUUUCCAUUUCAAGCUCUUAAAGAUGAAUACAAAGACACAUAAAAAAUUGCAGAAGCAUACUUGAUCAACUAUAAUAUAUAUAUAUAUAUAUAUAUAUAUAUAUAUAUAUAGUCAUUCUCUAGUAUAGUCGUUCUCAUUUAUUUUUCAUGCAAACACACUUUAAAACUAUAUGAUUUAAAAGAAUUAGUUUUUAACUCUUUAAAACCGCACGGUUUAAAGUAUGUCCGCAUUAAAAAAAAAAAUAUAGGCGUCCACACUUGAAAAUAAUUAUAUGUAUAUAUAAAUCAAGCAAAAAAAAAAAAAAAACCACCCUACAUUCAGCCAAAUGAGAAGAGAGAAUUUUUUGUAUUCUAUUUCAUAAUUUUUAUUUUAAUUAAAAAUAAAAAUCCCCAAACCCGAACCCAAAAUUUUAUUAGCUCUUAAGCCUAUCCCCGAAAUAGCCCUAAUUUCAUUUUUUAGACAUUUUAGGACCCACAACCGACCCAAAUUUAUCGGGAGUCCGCUGGCUCAGGGAUCCGUGGAAAAUAUUGCCAUCCCUAUUUUUUUCUCCCCCUCCAAAAUGGAGAUCGGAGAUGGCUACAGGCUGCUAAGUGCUAACCAAUUUAUACAUGAAGAUGGGUUACAUGCACAUACGGUGAUACGGGGUUCAGUCCUAUAAGAAAUUUCAUCAUCAUCAAGUAAAUUAAAUAGUAAUUUUCUAAAUAUGUGUUGAUUAUACUGAUCAGCUGUUUUGACAUAUUAAUGAUAAAAAGGAAUUAUAAAAUUAGUAUAUAUUUUUUUAUUAACAUUGUAACAUUGUAUCAUUUUUAUUCUUAUUCUUGUCGCCAUUGUUUCAUCUUUUUCUUUCUAAAGUUUUGCUGAUUAAAGAAUUAAUUAAUGACUCGUCGGACUGUCCAUUUUCUAAAUGAAAAGGGGUAGACCAUAUUUACUAAAAAAUGCAUAGGCACUUUCGUUGAAAGAGUACAAUUUGAGCAAAAUAUACUGUUCCAUACAUGGGCACAUGGCUUAGAGAGCAUGUCCACAGUCAAAUUUACUUCAUCAGUUUUGUUUCAUUAACCCCUUACCAUUAAAUUCAUACGACCAAGCUUCAUUAGUUGAUAGUUGAAAUUGUCCUAAUGUACACACAUAUUGCUUGUGCCUAAAGCAUAUUGUUGAGGAUCUGCUAGAUUUAAUAUCUUCCACAAUUUUUUUAAUUUCUUUAUUUCUUAAAAGAUCUGAAUUUGGAUGAUCGGCUAAAUAUGUUUGAAAAUCAUUCAACUAGCAUAGGCCUGUUCCAUUUAAGAGCUUAAGAAAACUGUACCUCUUUUACAUGCUCCAAAAAACCACUCGGUAACAUAUAAUUUCUAAAAAUUAAUAUUUGAUGAAUUAAUAAUCUCCAUUACACAUCAAUUAUUUAUAAUCCCAACUUGGGCUAAUAGGUUAAAUUAAUAUGAUAAUAGUUGUUUUGAAAUCCCUUGCAUAUAUGUUUCAUUGAAUUGUAUAAACACUCAAUAAGUCGACAAUUAAUUAAUUCUUCUUUAAAUUAAUAGAUUUUAUAUGAUAAUGACAUUAUUAACUUACAGAGGAUUUACCGUUUUGGUAUUAGGUAGAGUCUUCACUUACCCUAAUUAUUACUCAAUUAUUAGGAAACACACAAAACUUUCGUUGGAAAGAAUUACAUAUAGUCUCCUGCCUUGGCAUUUCGUAAUAAGUUGUUCCUAGAUAAGCACACUGUUACUAUUAUAUUUAACAAGUUUUCCUACAUACGUAGUAAGAAAAUAUAAAUUGAAUAUACGGUUUAAAAAGUUGUUAUCCAAGAAAAAAAAAAUGUUACUAAUAAGGAGAAAAGAGUGCUGAUGAUUAUAGCUGCACCUUGUAAUUUUACAAGUAUAUAUUUUAUCUUAAAUGAUAUGUCAUUUAUUAAUCAAUUAUUUUUUUCAUAAAUUUCAACUGAAUUAGUUAUAUUAUUUCACGGUCACUUUUUUCUUUUAAAUUAUAUCAUUAUUUUACGUGUUUUAUUCUGAUGAAUGACACAUUAUUUACAAAAUUUAAGAUAAAAUCUUAAGAUAUCUACCACUGCUUUUAAUUUGAUUGAAAGUUUUAUUUUCAUUCACUUGUAAGAAUUUUCAAAUAGUUGAUACUACAAAUUACCUUCAAGAUAAAAUAAAAUUAGAACAAUACUAGAUGUCCAAACAUUUAAUUCUCAAUUUAAAUUCCAAUUGAUAUAACAUUCAUCCAUUAGAUAGUGGUUACAAGUUUCAAGGAUGAUGAGUUGUGAUUCAAAUGUUGGCGAUUCUUAAUAUUAUUAAUAAAGCUAAUUUUUGGGUAAAAUUUUAAGAAAAGUAAUAUAAUUAAUGAGAAUUAAAAAAAUAUAGGCCACGUGGCAUUCUAUACAAUAAUAACUCUAGUAAUAGCUACUCAAAAUAAUUAAGGCCUACGCAAACUGGCACAACCUUGAUUACCUCUAUUCCCAUAGAUUUAAAAUUACCAAUACAUCUUAAAGCCGUUGGGUGUUUUCCGGGCAUAUUUCCAUUUUUCUGUUUUCAUGUAAUCAAAUUUAUCACAUAUGCUCCUGCUCUUUCAUGUUUCAUUUUACAUCAGAUGAACAGAUUUAUGUAAGUUCUCUUCUCGCACGCCCUCUCACACGCCGGACACUCACACACACACACAUAUGCAGCGCACACAAAAUUUACGCAAAUAGACUGCAUCCUGAGAUCAGCUAAUGUUUGCAAGCAUCACUGUUUGAGUUGUAAUUUCAAAAAAUGUGUUCAACAACCACCACCAAAAUAAGAGAGGGGUUGGGGGCAGGGCUGGGUCGGUUUCAACUGUUGAUCUGACUCAGAGGACAAUUAUUAGGUUAGUGAUAGGGGUAGGCAAAAAAACCGUAGUCUUAAAAAAACCGAACCGAACCGACGGUUUUUUCUAAUUCGGUUUGGUUUUUAUUUUUUAAAAAAACCGAAUAUACCAUUUGUAAAAAAAAAACCGAAAUGUCGGUUUGGUAUUCGGUUCACUUAGCUGAACCGAAAAACCGAACCGAAAAACCAAAUUAUUUUUUGAUUUUAUUCAAAUCAAACAUGUGUUAUUUCUCUUUAUAACAUUAUGAUUAUGUUUAUAUAGAUGGAGUAUUGGAGUUUGGUUAUGUAUUUUGAAAUUUUAAUAUUUCAUAUAUUUGGGAAUAUCUUAUUAAUAGUUAGUAAGAUAUUAGUGAUAAAAUGUGUUUUGAAUUCUUUGUAUUUAUUGUUAAUAUUUGUAAUAAAAUUAUGAUAAAUUAAUUAUUGAAAAAAAUUAUUACAUUCAUGAGGCCCAAUGGGCUAAAAAUUUAAAAAUUCAAAAUAGGCCCAGAACCGAAAAAAUCGAACCGAACCGAACCGAUCCAAAAAGAACCGUUUGAGUUCGGUUCUUAUUGAGUUUGGUUCUUAUUCGGUUCUUUUUAUAAAAUAACCGAUUUAAAUCGAUUCUACUUAAUUUCGAACCGAACCGAACCGAACCGUGCCCACCCCUAGUUAGUGAUUAUGAUACUAGUUCUUACCAGAAAACAGAAGAGGAUUGUUGUAAGUGCUGGUGAGUGUUAGAUUUAUAAUCUGUUUGUCCACAAUUACCACAGCAUCUGAGAAAACUCUGCUCUAAGCUAAAUUAAAGGUGUCAUCACCGUGAUUCCUCAUCAAGAGAAAUAUGAGAUAUUGAACAUGACUAUCAGAAUCUACUGUCCCAUGGUCAACAAGACAGUUACAAGACUAUCUGAAUUUACAGUCUCAUGUCUAAGUAACUUGUAAGUCAUGGAUCAAUGUUGGAGCUCUAUAGCAAGUCAUUUACUAAAAAUAAGCAUAAAGUAACUCCUGACUGCACAAAGGGUAACAGAAAGGAGAAUGUAUAACCCUGUAUACCUAGUAUUGCAAGCAGUGAUCAUUGCAGGUUGUUGGUUGACAAGAAUUACAAGCAGUGAUCAUUGCAGGGACAACUUGGCAAGGGUCAAUGCUAAUACCUUUACCCCAUUUUCCAUGUCAUGGCCAGAGGCAUAUUCCUCAGGCUUGUGGCUAUAACCUGCAAAAUCAAAUGUAUGAAAACAUGCAUUAGUCUGGUUCUAUGCUCUAGUUCCCUCAUAAAAUAAGAAGAUGAUUAGAUAGAUUACAAAUGCUAGAGGUCCUCAUUUUGACUAGAUAAAGUCCCCUGCUAAGUUGACACCAUUCGAGAAUGGGUAUGUGCCCUGCUACUUGUACAAGCGUACAUUUUCUAAUUCACAUCAUGUGAUUUUAGUGUGCUUCCACACAAGAUUUGUUUCAUGUGCACAUAAUUCAAAAGCAAAAGAAGCACCAGCACCAAAGCAGUACCUAAAAAUUUUUAUUGAUGAAAUCCAACUAGAUAAUUAUAGUCAUUCCGAAUAUUUCAACAUUCAACUUAAUAAUCAGAGAUGAAGGGUUUAGAUUUCUAGAUACAGAAGAAAAGAAAUGUGUUCAUACCUUUGAAACAUGGAGUGAAUAUCAUGCCCAUUGGCGAUACCCUGCAAGGAUGUGAACCUAUAAUUAGAUGUUGCUAGCAAGAAGAACAAUAAGAGUAAAUAUGCAUUCACCAUCUAAAACAUCCUUAAGCAGGUUAAGUGAACAGUAAUAAUAAGAUAGCUAAUUCAUAGUAAAGCAUCUAAAAAUAAGGAUACAUUUCAUAUUUGUGUGCAAGUUUGGUGCUGUGUAUUGUUUGUGAAAAAGCUUGGGAGUUGGAAGAAACAGAUUGGAUGUGAAACUUUUGAAAAUUUGGGUGCCAGUCACUCAAAUCACGGGGAUUUCAGCGAAUUUUCAGCAGUAAAUUACUGCCAAAAAGUACCCACUCCCAGUUUUCACCUCGGAAAAUUUUCUUCACCUGCAUUCCCAUGUUGGUAUCUUGAAUCAUUAGAUUUUAUCAUUUUCCUCCUCUUUCAAAAAAGGACCGGGCAGGGGGGGGGGGGGGGGGGGGGGGAGAGAGUAAAAUCUUCAUAUUAAGAAACAUGGCACUUGGAGAGCCCAAAAUAGUGGGACAUAUAGCAUGGUACUGGACAAGGUACAAAUAUUAACUCUUUCUCUCUAUCUAUACCUGGCCAUAAAGAGUGAAUCAUGGUAAGCUCUGCUUAUCAUAAACUUAUGUGUUAAAUUAAGUUCUUUUGACGCUGCUUCCACUGCCUCAAUUAUUGAUUUCUCAGAAAGUGCUGGUGGAUCCUGAUUUACGAUUUUGAAUUCAGAUAGAGUGACCCCACGAUUUUUAGCAAUUGUAAUUGCAGACUGAUGGAUUUUUUCAAUCACACUAUUUCUUCGCUUUUCAUCAAUGUCUCGUGUGUCUGCCGAAACACAGAUAAUAGAAAACUCAAUAAAUAACAAAGAAAAACUUCAGAAAUCAACUGGAAUUAAAUCAAACUUUGGGAGAAGAAGAAUGCCAAUAACAUGAUUUUAAAACAAACUUCAGGAACUUAAUACUCAUCUCAUGCAAAGUAUUUAUGUUAUAAAAUUGUUGGCCAGUUUUCCAGUAAGACUUGAACAACUGAUUGGAAACAUACCAAUUUCUAAGUGUGACUUGCUUGGUAUGCUGUUGAUU